Molecule: long non-coding RNA, 71558 nt
Filed under: Malus domestica (apple)
Lineage: Eukaryota; Viridiplantae; Streptophyta; Magnoliopsida; Rosales; Rosaceae
Description: long non-coding RNA (MDOM_LNC016009)
Source: RNAcentral
GACAAAUAUUGUAGAGUACACCACAUUUUAUUUUAUAGAUGCGAUCGACAACCAUAAUCUAUUACAUCACAAUGUCAUAUAUGACAUCCUUCGUACAUCUUUUACAAUACACACAAACCUAAUUAAGAAAAGCAUUUUAUUUAAGUAGGUACGCAUUGAUGAACAUAUGCAUGCAUGAUUACAUAUAAUUGAACCCUUUUUAACAAGACCAGCAAAAGCUCUUUCCAACCGUUGCAUAUGACGUAUGGUUUUUAUUCAUUAAUUAAUUAAUUUAUGCUCCCAGAAGGUGAGCGUCAAGAUCCUGGACGAGUUUAACCAUCAAACCGACAUAUCUAUCUGGAGCUUUAACAUUCUCAUGCAGUUUCUCGUAUUCGAUCCACAGGUUGGCAAUGCAGGUGCCUUCAUCUUUUUGAGUGAAUUUAUAGACACCCUUGAAGCUCUUAUAAUACUUGAACACUUCUCCUUCCAAUCCUUUCAGAGUUGCGGCUUGUUCCCAUCGUCUAGCUCCACCUGUUCCUUGAAUAUCCCGACAUGAUCCCCUAUAUAUAUGCAUGCAUGCAUUCAUGGUUAAUUUCAUAACAACAAAAUAUAUAAACUUUCUCACCCUCUCUUAUUAGGAUCUUGUUUCCACUGUAGCAAAAAGGGGGCAAUAUGACUUAUUUAGGAAACAUGUAUUUACUGUAUAUGACUCUCAUUGUCUAGAACAAAAAUUGAAGGAAGCAUUGAAAUAUAUAUAAGAGGUCAUAUAUGGUAAAUACAUGAUUUCUACGAUUGUUCUAUCUCGACCUUGUUUUUGCUACAAUAAAUCAGAAUUUCUGCGAAAAAGCUGUAAACAUUGAAACUCGUGCUAUGAACGUAUGAUGAUUUGAGCGCAUCUGUUAAGGUAUACAUACAUAUAAAGUGAAUAAUUAAACAGGAAAAUUGAAUUAAGUAGCGGUACCUAGUUCAUAUUUCCAAAUCUUAACAGAGCCGUGUGUUUCCCAAUCUCCUUCAUGCACAUCAACUCCUUUGAUAUGGGUAUUAGAGAUGUUUGGGAUGAGGUGGGCGCUCUUGAACAUGUUGUACAACUUGUCAGCUGGUGCCUUAAUUUCUAUUUCAGUCCCAAUUUUACCAUGCAAAACCAUGUUUAUGAGCAGUUUUGAUGGGUGCUACUCAGAAAUUAUAAGAGAAGAAUGUUAAAGGAUAUGUAUAAUUUGGGCUCCUACCCUCCUUAAAUAGAAGCGACUAGAGUUAAAUUGCGAGAUAAAACUUAAUAUAUCCGGAACACGAUACAGUACGCCAUAUAUAUAUAAUAUGUAAUAUAAAUAUGGAGGGAAAGUUUUUUUUUUUUUUUUUUUUUUUUUUUGCAAGUGUUUCUCUACUUGUGUAGACGUAUGUACCCGUGUUCUAGAUAUUAAAAAUUCUCCCGUAAUAUUUUAAUAGUGGGUAAUCCAAUUUAAAAACCAAAUCAUGCAACACGUGAUAAAGAUUAAGUCAUAUAUUUUUUAAAUCAUACUUCUCGGAUAAUUGGAAUCCUAUGAAGUAAUGAUCACAAGUUCACAAUAUGCAUGGAUAGAUGAAGGGUUUGCUCAUGAUUAAUGUUAGGGAGACCAAAUUUCUAAAUCAAAAUUUGUAAACAAAAUAAUGUGGAGGUAAAUGAUUGAAUUAUUAUUUAAGUGUUAAUUAAUAUGCUUGUUUCUUAUUAAUAACAUAUCAUUUGAUUUGCAUUCACGCAUGCGAUAAAGAUUAGAUUAGUACGAUCACACUAAAAAUUUAUAUGUAAAUGUUUUAAAAUAAAAUGUAAUUUAUCUGCAAAAUGUUUUUUUUUUAAAAGGUACGAUAUUCUUUAAUAACAAAUUUAUACGUACAUCAAUGAGGAUAGGGUGUAAACAAAUGGCCUCGAUAAAAACCUUGCCGGGGUUUUUAACCCGAUCGAAGAGAGAUUUUUCAAUGUGACCGUCACACAAGGAGGUACACCACGUGUCUCUAUGUAAAUGGUUAGAUAUGUGUGUUAAAAGAUUAAUAACUUAAAAAUUAAAAUUUUCCACCACUUACAUAAAAAUACGUGGUGUACCAUCCGUGUUCCUGUCACAACUAAAAAUUUUCCCCGGUUGAAGGGAAAAAGAGUGUCCCACACCAACAUAAUUAAUUAAGAAUUGCUAUCCUAAAAAAGAAGAUCAAGAAUUACAUUAGGAAGUUCCUCAGACCAAACCACACAUUGUUACCAUAACUCAAGCUCAUACGUGCUAGCCUGUGUGCCACCUUGUUCGUCUCCUUUUGACUAAAUUCAACCUUCCACUUGGACAAUGAAUGAAUAAUUGCGUGUGUCGUUUAGAAUGUUUCCAAAGUGUGAGGUGUCAAUACUUCCUUCUGCAAAAUGUUUUAGAAUAAAAAGUUUUAUAUCUUGUAGGAUCACAUCUAUUUAUUUAUUAUCAUUAUUAUAUUUUUGGAAAGAUCGAUACGUAUGGGCCAUGGCGUCUGGUUCUUUUGUUAAAAAGCCAUCAAAUGGGGAGGCAUGGAUGAGGUAUUAGGUAUCCACAAAUGUCAGUUCACAAAAUAUUAUACUAAAAGUAAUUGAAAAGAAUCAAACAAAUAUUAAUUCUUUUCCCAAGAUAAUCCACUAAAAUGAGGGUCCACAACAUAGUUUUUCGGGAACUUUAACGAAAAACACCCGGUACUGUUCACUUUAACGAAAAACCACAUUUUUACACUAAAAAAUCAAUCCUGGUACUAUUCACUUUACCCUUUAUUUUGUCCUUAUCAUUAAAGCUCAAAGUUUUCAAGCCCUUUUCAUUAAUUUUCCUUAGUUUUUUCCACUAGAGUUUAUUGAUCCUUGAAGACUAUCAUUGACGAUUGAUCAUCCAACAGGUGCAUUAUUUAUUUUUUAACAAACGGUAAUAGUUACUAUUUCUUGAAUUGGAUAGGGGUAUCGAUACUAUUUCUUAAAUAAAACAUUAAUACUAUUAUUAUUCUUAAACUGAAUACUGGCACUAUUACUAUUUUUUAAACUGAACAUUCAUUAUUUCUUAAACCGAGCGCUGGUACUAUAACUAUUUCUUAAACUGAACAUUCAGUAUUUCUUAAACUGGACAUUCACUAUUUCGUAAACUGAACACAAAUAUUAUUACUAUUUCUUAAACUGAAUAUUCAUUAUUUUGUAUACUGAACACGGAUAUUAUCAUUAUUUCUUAAACGUAACACUAAUAUUAUUACUAUUUCUUAAGCUGAAUACUGACUAUUUCUUAAAUUGAACAAUAACUAUUUUUAUAAUUGAAUACAAGCACUGUCCCUAUUUCUUAAACCAAAAAUAGUGAAUUAGGGUUUAGUUAUUACGAUAUAUUACUGGAUUAUGAUUAACAUAUAAUUGUGUUCUGGCCUUAGAGAAAAAAGGUACACACCAUGUUAAAUACAUGUAGGCAUUUAUAUAUAAAUAUAUAUUACAUACGUAUAUAAUUCCAACUUUUGAUAGAUCAAGCCAUGAGUUUCCCAGUCUCCUUCUUGCACCUGAACUCCCUGGAUACUGCCAGAACAAAUUUUUGGGACGUGUGGCGAGCCUGGCUCUUGAAGAUGUUGUAGAACUUCUCAGCAGGUGCCUUAAUUUCGAUCUCAGUCUCAACCUUACCGUGCAGAGUCGUGUUUAUGAUCAGUUGGGAUGGCACUCAACAAUGCGUACAAGGCCUGUUCUAAAGAAACUUAAGGGCAGCCCUUUUCUGCUACAGUUAAAUUAUACAAUAUUAAUUUGAGGUAUUCAUCAAUUUACCUCCUAACUUAUAAGAAUUGGUCAAUUUUCCUUAUCAACUUUCAUAAUUAAUCAAUUUGCACCAUACUAUUAAUUUUUUAAAAUUUUUCAUCCUUUCUUCUGUUAAGUAUGUCAAGUGUUAUCCGCAUGACUGCCUUUAAAGGGUAAAAAGGUCAUUUUACCUACACCUUCCGUCUUCUUUCUCUUCUCCGAACUUUCUUUUCUUCUUCUUUUUCACCAAGCCGAGCCCGUACUGUUCCACCGUGCUCCACAGGCACGAUUUUCCCGGCGAACACCAAAAGAAACAGUGGGAGGGAUCUGAGCUCGUAGAUCCGCGUUCACUACAUCCCCUUCUUGCACUCCUCGCAAACCCUACCCUCCGAUUCUAAUGGGACACCUCCCCCGUCGCCACUGAGUUCCUGAAGAAGAACCGCGCAUACGACUUGGCCACCACCGCCGCCACUCCAACCACUCCCAGAGCCACAGGCGCGUGCUCCCCCGAAGACCCGCACCUGAAGUUGGCGCCCCCAAUUAUGAUCGAGUACUUGGACUUUCUCUUUCCCGGAUCCACGAAGCGCGUGGAGUAGGAGGCGGGGAGGUUGCAUAGCGUGUAAGACCCUAGCUUGGCGAUGUGGGGAGAAGAUGAGAUGGAUUUGAUCAAAGACUUGCCGAAGAAUCUGGGGAGAAGAUGCGGGGACUUUCUCUCCCGUAUUACUUAUCCUAUCAUUUUCCUUGUACGGGCUGCCAAACGAGGCCUUAGUAUGCUAUUGCCUUGUAUUUGAAAUUAGACAAUCGUUUUAUUUAAAAAAAAACAAACUUACUAAGUUCACACUUAAACAUAUUUAAACAAACUUACUAAGGUCAACACACUUGCAGAUAACACAAUUAAAACUAAACAUACCAACAAACAUGGAUCACACUUACAAGGCCAAACAAAGCAUAUAUAUAUAUAUAUGUAUGUAUGUAUGUAUAAUGUAUGUAUGUAUAUAUAUGUAUAUUAUAUUUAUGAACAGUAUUGCCCUUGCUCUUGUCUUUGCCCAACUGGUAGUAGAGUUGCACAGAGACAAAGUUGUUGGUAUAUGGUCCAGCCCAUGAUCAAUGUUCUAGAUUAUUCUAGUAAGCAAGAGAUGAGGCUGAAGCUUGCUAGACAAUUCUAGAAUGUUAUUAAGUUGAUGGAAGAAGCUAGAGAGUACUAGCUUCCUUGGUUGCAAAUGGAAAGAUCUAGAAGCUACAAGUAUAUGGCUAGUCUAGAUUUUUCUAUACUAGAGGUUUGAAGAAGGAACUAGAAACUAGUAGAAUGCCAAACCCUCACCUAUAAAUAUGGGUGUGAUGUAACCAAUUGAGAACCAAGAGUGAGUAGCAAAGGAUCAAGUCCAAAGCUAGAGUUCCACUCCAAGAGUGAGAGUGAGAGUGUUCCACUACACAUUGUGUGAGUGAAGUUUAGAGUGAUAGAAAGUGUGUGUUAUACUUUCUUGUAUCCAUCAAGCCUUGUCUUUGGCUUGGUAAGACUACUCUUGUUGUAUUCAUCUUUUUCAUAUAGUGAAGAUUGAUCCUUGUUUGGUGGACGUAGGCAUAAAUUGCCGAACCACAUAAACUUUUCUUGGCGUCCAUUUUCUACUUUACCUUGUGCAUUCUCUAUCUUGUAGUACCGACAUUCCUAACAAGUGGUAUCAGAGCCCGGUUGGCUCGUACUACGAGAUGGAAGGAAGUGGCACUAUGAUCAAACUCACCAACUCCAAUUGGGUAACAUGGAAGCCAAGGAUGGAGGACAUUCUCUAUUGCAAGGAUUUGCAUGAGCCAAUUGAAGGAGAUGCCGCUAAGCCCGAGAGCAUGUCCGAUGCCGAGUGGAAGAAGAUGAAUCGCAAGGCUAUUGGCACAAUUAGACAAUGGGUGGACGAUAGUGUUUUUCACCAUGUGUCUAAUGAAACCAAUGCUCGCGAGUUUUGGACAAAGCUUGAGUCCUUGUUCGAGAAGAAAACUCCAGCUAAGAAAGCCUUCUUGAUCAAAGAGCUCAUCAAUGUGAAGUACAAGGAUGGUUUAAGUGUAGCAGAACACUUGAACAAUUUCCAGAAUAUCAUCAACCAGUUGGCUACUAUGAAAAUGAUGAUCGAGGACGAGCUACAAGCGCUCUUGUUACUUGGAUCCUUGCCAGACAGUUGGGAGACCUUUGUGGUGAGUAUAAGUAACUCUGCUUCUAAUGGUGUUCUUACUCUUGAUAAUGUUAAAAAUAGCAUGCUCAAUGAAGAAACAAGGAGAAAGACUUCUGGCACAGAUAGCAGCCAAGUAUUUGUCACAGAGAACCGCGGAAGAAGCAAGAGUAGAGGGCCUAGAGGUCAUGGCAGGAGUCCUAGCCGAUCCAAGUCAAAGUUCAGGGGUGCAUGCCACCACUGUGGCAAAGAAGGCCAUAUGAAGAAAAAUUGUCGAGUUUGGAAGAGAGAGCAAAGGGAAGGAAACAAUCAGAAGAAAGAUGAUACUGGCAAUACCACCGCUGUCAUCUGUGGUGAUGUACCAGAAAUAUUGUCUGUUGGUGAAUGUCUGCAUAUGGGCAACUCUGACAGAGACAUUGAAUGGAUCUUUGAUAAUGGAGCUUCCUUCCAUGCUACGUCCAAACGGGAGUUCUUCAGUACAUACAAAGAAGGUGACUUUGGCAUAGUGAAGAUGGGGAAUGAAAGCUAUUCCAAAAUUCUUGGAAUUGGUGAUAUCUGCUUAAGAACUAAUCUCGGCUGCCAAUUGAUGUUGAAAGAUGUGAGACAUAUUCCUGAUAUACGUCUCAAUCUGAUAUCCAUCGGUACCCUUGAUCGACAAGGAUAUUAUCACCAUAUUGGCGAAGGAAAAUUGAAGCUUACUAAAGGCUUAAUGGUGGUAGCAAAAGCACGACUUUGUUGUACGUUGUACCGGUCAAAUGCACAGGUUUUUGAAAGGUGAGUUGAAUGCUGUGGAGGACUCAUCUCUAGACUUAUGGCAUAAGAGGCUGGGCCACAUAAGCGAGAAAGGCCUACAAGUUUUGGCAAAGAAGUCUCACAUUCCCUUUACCGAAGGUACGUCGUUAAACUCUUGUGAGCAUUGUUUAUUCGGAAAACAAAGAAGAGUUAGUUUUUCUGUUCCAUCUACAAAGAAAGGAAACUUGUUAGAUCUUGUUUAUUCAGAUGUGUGUGGUCCCAUGGAAGUCGAGUCACUUGGAAGAAAUAAAUAUUUUGUUACUUAUAUUGAUGAUGAUGCUUCACGAAGGGUGUGGGUGUAUUUGUUGAAAUCCAAAGACCAGGUGUUUCAGACAUUCCAGGAGUUCUAUGCCAUGGUGGAGAGGGAAACUGGGAAACCUCUCAAGUGCCUUCGUAGCGACAACGGCGGCGAGUACACAUCUCACCAGUUUAGAGAGUAUUGUGUAAAACAUGGCAUACGUCAUGAGAAGACAGUUCCUGGAACUCCACAACAUAACGGUGUUGCUGAAAGAAUGAACCGAACCAUCAUGGAGAAAGUCAGGUGUAUGUUGAGGACUGCAAAGUUAUCUAAGCAGUUCUGGGGUGAAGCUGUAAGGACAGCCUGCUAUUUGAUCAACCGAUCUCCAUCAGUACCAUUAGGUCUUGAUGUUCCAGAGAGAGUAUGGACUGGUAAUGAUGUGUCUUACUCUCAUCUGAAGGUGUUUGGUUGCAAAGCUUUUGUGCAUGUGCCCAAAGAGCAGAGAUCGAAGUUAGACUACAAAGCUACACCGUGCAUCUUUCUUGGUUAUGGCGGUGAAGAUUUUGGUUACAGAUUAUGGGACCCAUACCAGAAGAAGUUUAUCCGAAGUAGAGACGUGGUCUUUUAUGAAGAACAAACAAUUGGGGAUUCGGAUAAAGAGGCACAACCAGAUGGCGCAGUCAGAGGAGUUGAUCCAUUAGCUUCAGAUGAAGAAAGUCACGAUGACAUCCCUGAAGCAACUGCCAAUGAAGUGCCUGCAGAAUCAGAUAAUGCUAAUCAAGAGGAGCCUGAUCAAGAUGUGCCAAACCAUGAGAUUGCUCAUCAGGGGAGCCUAGUCAAGAAGAGCAUAUUCAAGGAGAACCCAAUCAGGGGGAGCCUCCAGCCCUACAAGAGAAUGAAGAUCAGGUCAGAAGAUCCAUCAGAAGUCGAAGACCGUCUACCAAGUAUUCUUCAUCAGAGUAUAUCAUGUUGACUAAUUAUGGAGAGCCCGAAACAUAUGAGGAGGCCAGAGCUCAUAACGACAGUGACAAAUGGAUGAAGGCAAUGGAGUCGGAGAUGGAUUCCUUAUCAAAGAAUGAUACCUAUGAGCUGGUGGAGCUUCCAAAGGGCAGGAAAGCAUUGAAAAACAAGUGGGUGUUCAAAUUGAAAAGAGACGACAACAUGACAAGGUACAAGGCUCGUUUGGUUGUCAAAGGUUUUGGUCAAAAGAAAGGAGUUGACUUUGAUGAGAUUUUCUCACCGGUGGUGAAGAUGACUUCCAUUCGAGUUAUCCUUGGUAUGGCAGCAAGCAUGGAUCUUGAGCUCGAGCAGUUAGAUGUUAAAACUGCAUUUCUCCACGGCAAUUUAGAAGAGGAGAUAUACAUGGAGCAACCCAAAGGCUUUGAAGUCAAAGGUAAAGAAAAUUUGGUGUGCAAGCUCAAGAAAAGUUUAUAUGGUCUUAAGCAGGCUCCGAGACAGUGGAAUAAGAAGUUCAACUCACUCAUGGUGAGUAAUGGGUACAAGAGAACUCAUGCUGACUCUUGUGUCUAUAUCAAACAAUUUUCUGGAGGUAAAUUCAUCAUCUUAUUGCUUUAUGUUGAUGACAUGUUGAUUGUCGGACAAGAUACCUCUAUGAUUAAAAAGCUCAAAGAAGAGUUAUCUAAGUCCUUUGACAUGAAGGACUUAGGGCCAGCCAAGCAGAUUUUGGGCAUGGAUAUAAUUCGUGACAGAAAAUCCAAAAAGUUGUGGCUGUCACAAGAAAAGUAUGUUGAACGGGUGCUUGAAAGGUUCAACAUGAAAGCAGCCAAAUCGGUAAGCUCACCUUUAGCCAAUCAUAUCAAGUUGAGCAAAGAGUCAUGUCCAAAAACAUAUUGAAGAAAAGGAGAAAAUGGCAGUUGUUCCCUACUCUUCAGCAGUAGGAAGUAUCAUGUAUGCAAUGGUGUGCACACGGCCAGAUAUUGCUCAUGCAGUAGGUGUGGUGAGCAGGUUUCUCUCUAAUCCAGGGAAGGACCACUGGGAAGCUGUUAAGUGGAUUCUCAGAUAUUUGAAAGGGACUUCUAAGAUGUGCUUGUGCUUUGGCGGUUCCAAACCAAUCUUGGAAGGAUUUACAGAUGCUGACAUGGGAGGUGACCUGGAUGGUAGAAAAUCUACGUCUGGGUACUUGUUUACUUUUACAGGGGGAGCCGUGUCUUGGCAAUCCAAGUUACAAAAGUGCAUUGCUUUGUCCACAACCGAGGCUGAAUACAUAGCCGCUACAGAAGCAUGCAAGGAGUUGUUGUGGCUGAAGCGGUUUCUCCAAGAGUUGGGUUUGAAGCAAAGUGAUUAUGGCGUUUAUUGUGAUAGUCAGAGUGCUCUGGACUUGAGCAAGAACACUACAUAUCAUUCACGCACUAAGCACAUUGAUAUUCGUUAUCAUUGGAUUAGAGACGCUAUCGAGAACAAGUUGCUGCAGCUGAAGAAGAUUCAUACCGAUAAUAAUUCUUCAGACAUGUUGACAAAGGUAGUCACAAAAUCAAAGUUGGAAUUCUGCAUUAAGGCUGCUGGGAUGAACUCCAGGUAACUUGGAGUCAUGAUCGGAAUUCCUCCCUCAUGGACUGGAGGGGGAGAUUGUUGGUAUAUGGUCCAGCCCAUGAUCAAUGUUCUAGAUUAUUCUAGUAAGCAAGAGAUGAGGCUGAAGCUUGCUAGACAAUUCUAGAAUGUUAUUAAGUUGAUGGAAGAAGCUAGAGAGUACUAGCUUCCUUGGUUGCAAAUGGAAAGAUCUAGAAGCUACAAGUAUAUGGCUAGUCUAGAUUUUUCUAUACUAGAGGUUUGAAGAAGGAACUAGAAACUAGUAGAAUGCCAAACCCUCACCUAUAAAUAUGGGUGUGAUGUAACCAAUUGAGAACCAAGAGUGAGUAGCAAAGGAUCAAGUCCAAAGCUAGAGUUCCACUCCAAGAGUGAGAGUGAGAGUGUUCCACUACACAUUGUGUGAGUGAAGUUUAGAGUGAUAGAAAGUGUGUGUUAUACUUUCUUGUAUCCAUCAAGCCUUGUCUUUGGCUUGGUAAGACUACUCUUGUUGUAUUCAUCUUUUUCAUAUAGUGAAGAUUGAUCCUUGUUUGGUGGACGUAGGCAUAAAUUGCCGAACCACAUAAAUUCUUGGCGUCCAUUUUCUACUUUACCUUGUGCAUUCUCUAUCUUGUAGUACCGACAUUCCUAACAAAAGUAUUGUUCAUAGUAAAAAGUACGGGCAAGCCAACUGCCUUGUUCUUACACUUGCGUUCUCCAAACGGGUGAAACUGCUAUUAUGAUCGGUCUGAAGUAGACGCGCUUAUUCUUGCGUGAGGAAAUUAUCAGUCUCCUUAACAAGAUAACAGCUAACUGGAGCUGAAGUUGGGGAUCCGGAACCCAUCAUGUAGCUUUUCAUAUUGUAGAACCAAAUUCACCACGCUGCCCUCAUCAUGAACGCCUAAUUUUGGAGUAACUUGUAAAGUGAUCUUAAAGCUCUUGUAUCGAUCUAGAGGGUUUCCUUCAAGCACUGUGAAAGUCACCGAAUGAUUUACAUCGUCUAUGGCUUCAGUUAACUCCUUGGAAAAAGUUGGUUUCCCAUCUGCUAACAUUUCAUCACAAAUCAAUUACUUGCUUCAUCCACAAAAAAACAUGUCGACAUAUAUAGUAAGAGAACAAUCUUUCAGCCACACUUACCUUCAAUAUAAUCCCACAAGAAGACACAACCCACUUUACCCCAUUCACCUUCAAGUAAUUUAUGACUCGGAACUUUGUCGGGGCUGAUGUUGCAUAUUUCGUACGGUGUUCGUGCAAAGAAUUCAUGGAACCUGUUUGCUUCAGACUUGAUUUCAACACUCGUCUCCACCUUGCUAGAAUUUGACAUUUUCCACAAGUACCAGAGUUGAAGGAAAAACGACUUUGGUGGUUCCCAACGUGAAAAUGGCGGGGUUUAGUGCAGCAACAAAGAAAAUGGCGGUGGCUGCUGCAAAUGGAUGUGGUGAUUCCCUCUCCCGCAGAAAAGAAGAUAAGUUUUUCUUACAAUAUUCUAAUUAUUCUCCAUGAUGAUGUCUGCCAUCUGCAAUAAAAAAAUAAUAAAAAGAAAAAAGACAGCCACUGAUGAUUGGUGAAGUGACGAGAUAAUCAUCAACUAGCUCAGCUCCACCCUCAGCACAACUGUGACGAAACCCACUUUUCUGAGAAAAUCACGAGAAAAGCAGAAAGCAAAAGAUAAAGCAAAAGGAAGACACAUGGGGACACUGCAAAAGUAAGGAAUAAACAUCCCACCAGAAUGAUGUAAUUUAUUUUUAUUAUCUUUCGGAGACAUCUGUAUAAACCCCAUCAGAGGGUAAUUAAAAAAAAAAAGCCCAAAAUAAUGGGCUGCAAACCCAAAAUAAGGGGCUACAAUGUCAUGGGCGAAGGCCCAUAUGCCCAAAAGACCCAUACCCUCUAUUACCACCAACCAGGUGAUCAAAAGUACGCCCAGUACUCCACAAUUAUUCGACAACCUGCCGCUAUUACCACCAACCAGGUGAUGAAAUGUACAACCCGUACUCUAAAAUCAUUUGGCAACUAGUCAUUCAUGCCACCAACCAGGUGAUGAAAUGUACAACCCGUACUCUCCUUCAUGCCACCAACCAGGUGAUCAAAAGUAUGCCCAGUACUUCAUAUUAUACAUGAACAUUACUCAUGUCAAUCAUACACAAACAUUCAUGAGUAUCACUCAUAUCAAUCAUACAUAUACAUUCAUGAGUAUCACUCAUGUCAACAUUCAUGAGCAUCACUCAUGUCAACAUCCAUGAGCAUCACUCAUAUCAAUCAAACAUUCAUGAGCAUCACUCAUGUCAAACAGCUUCAAAAGCUUCAUUUACAAAAGCUCUAGCUUCAAAAGCUUCAUUUACAGAGCUUCAGCUUCAAAGCUUCACUUAUAAAGCUUCAGUGCAGGGUAUACAAAUACCGCCUCCGAACAACCGCCACUUCGGCCCAUACAUGGAUUCAAUUUGAAGUCUCCAGCUAACAGACUCUAUUGACCGAAAAGACUUGGGGGACUACAUUAUAUACCAUAUAUUGGGCCUCAACUGGGCCUCAUAAAAAAUACUUGGGGGACUUAGCCCAUUAUCUAUGUACUGAGGAGCGAACCCUUAUUCUAUAAAAGGGACUUCCUCACUUUCAUUAGAGAGCAUCGCCGCCAGCUGAGCAACCGCCUCGCCGCGAGCAUCACUCCUAACCCAUCACUUAUGUAUUGAGGAGUGGGCCCUUAUUCUAUAAAAGGGACUCCAUCACCAUCAUUAGAGAGCAUCAACUCUAGCCCAUUAUCUAUGUACUGAGGAGCGAGCCCUUAUUCUAUAAAAGGGACUCCAUCACUUUCAUUAGAGAGCAUCGCAGCCAGCUGAGCAACCGCCUCGCCGCGAGCAUCACUCCUAACCCAUCACUUAUGUAUUGAGGAGCGGGCUCUUAUUCUAUAAAAGAGACUCCCUUACCAUCAUUAGAGAGCAUCAACUCUAGCCCAUCAUUCAUGUAUUGAAGAGCGAGCCCUUAUUCUAUAAAAAUGACUCUCUCACCUUCAACGCCACAAGCCGAGCCAACCAAGGCAACAUAAGCCACGAGCCGAGCAGCCUCGCAGCAUGUGCUACUUCUAGUUGAGCAUCAUCUCAGAUUGAGCACCGCCUCAUAUCGAACAUCAGUUCAAGACAACGUCUAGUUACUUCGGCCCACACAUGGACUGAAUUUCAAGUCUCCAGCCAAAAGACUCUCUUGACUGAAGACUUGGGAGACUACUGUUUAUACCAUAUUUAGGGCCUCGUAUUUAGAUCUUGUACAAAUACUCAGGGGACUUAAAUGUAAUUAUGUGAUAAAAGAAGGGGCAAAUAUGUAAUAAGUGAGGAGUCCUUAUUCUAUAAAAGGACCCCUCACCCUCACAAUUAGAGGAGGCCAAUUCCUAGGCCCUCUCACCCCCUCUCAACGCUCUCACUAUCAGUGCUCCCUCUCCCUCAGAUAAAUACAUAAUCAAAGUGGACGUAGCCCAAACCUUGGGGUGAACCACGAUACAUCUUGUGUCAUUUACAUUACUUGCAGAUUCACGGUCGGAUUUACGUUGUUCCAAAACCUCCGGUUUUGUGCAUCAACAGCCCUUACAUUUAUAUAGAAGAAAAGAGGGAAACAAAAACUUUACAAGAACCUAACAAUUUGCCCAUGCCAUCAGACAUGGAUGUAUUUAUUCACUAAAAAAAAUGCGUUAGUUGUAUUAUUUUACUAGAACCGAACAAUUUGCCCAGUAGACAUGGAUGGUGGAAUAUCUUGAUCAAUAUUAUUCCUCGUUUGCUCUCGUCGUUUCUAAGAAAACAAUGUUUUGUGGUUUUAUUAAAUAGCUGGAGACAAAAUGUUUCGAUCUUGUUCGUUUCUCUGUUUGUAUGCUUUUAUACAUGUUAUUUCUAAACAAUUUGUUUGUUUUAUGGUGGGCAUCUUUAAAAGUAAGAUACCCAUUUGUUUUUAAAGAAAUGUUAUUGUCACCUAAAAAUUUAAGUGUGUAUUUAUAAUUAUUUAUAUUUAAAAAAAAAUAUUCUUACAAUGAAUGUACAAUUAGAUUUUUGUAGUGUAAAUUUUCUGUCUUCAAUUUCGACUACUCGAAAUAUAUGAUCCGAUUGACCCCCAAACAUUGAGGUUUAAAUAUUUAUGGCUGGGGAAGACGAAUUCACCCAAACCUCGAACUCCUUUUCUUAGGAAAUAAAUUGAAAGUUAUAAUCUAAGGCCAAAUUCAAACCGAAACAACAACAUUCUAUUCUAUAAUUUCUCCUAGUCCUGAUCGGUUAGGGAUUCUAGUUAGUUCGUUUACAAACUACGUUGGCUAAUAUAUUUCAGUUACAACUUCAUAUAUAAAUGCAUUCUUCGUCGAAUUAACAAAUAAUCAGUUUGUAUCUAUAUAUAUAAAGUGAGAGCCCUAGUUUGGUGAAGCAUUUGAUAAACCAAAAAUGCCCUCACUUCAUACACUAUACCAACGUUAAUUGUCCAAUAAAAUUAGGGUCAAAAUUGUAAUAUAAUACAACGAAAUUCUACUGUGCGAAUAAUACAUGCACUCAUCUGAACAAUGACAAUUUUCAACCACUAGAUAAAAAUAUACACACUUAAAAUUCAUUGUGACCCUUAGAUCAAUCCUCCCACAAAUACUGCAUCACAUUCUAUCUUUCCACCAAAACCAAAAUAACAAAUAAAUUGAUAAAAACUGACAAACACUCCCUCCAAAUUAGAGUAGAACUGUCAAACACGUUGUCGCACAAAACAGAACACCGGUUGCAGCAGUUGCAAAGAUCGGAGAUAGAACCACCAAUCUACCACACGUUCUAGAGGGGAUAGCGAUCAUUCCAACCCCAAAUGCACAGAAAAGAGGAAGAACUCAUUUUCGUCUUCUGCACAAACCUCUCAUCCACGUGUUUUUCCAGAGUUUCUUCUGCAUCCACACUCAAUUUACACAAAUUCAGGUGAUUUUUUUUUCAUAAUUUCUACCCUCCAAUUAAGUAAUAUUACCCACAUGAAUCUGCUUUUCCGCUUGUUUUGUUUAUUAUUCUAUAUAAUUUAAUAAGGAAAUUCGAAUCAUUGAUGGCGUAGGAUGGGAUUGCUGGGCGUUCAAAAUUGCUCAGUGAUUAGUACUUAAUCGACCACACUGCUUAUAUUAUUUAAACUUAAUUGUUGUCAUAUGGGUUUUUCUGGAUUCCAUUUCUCUUAUUUAUGUGAUUUGAGUCAGUGGUAGUCAGGUGCAUGCAAUGAGAGACAUUUGAGGCUAUAGCUGGGAAUUUGGUUUCUAUAAAAUUACUUCUGCAAUUGGUCAGAAUUUAUAGGAGUUACUAAAAUUACCCCAUUACCAGUUUUUGUUUUACUAUAGUUGGUAAUGAUUUGUAAGCAGAUUGUACAUUGAGGUAAUGUGUGAAUUGAAUUCUGAUGGUUAAACUAAUACGACAAACUGGUAAAAAACCAUCACUGAAAAAAGAUAAAGCAUCACAACUGUAGAGUUUUGCCUAAUGAAGAAUUAGAACCGCGACGUGGGAUUCAACCACCCUCCACGUUCUGCAAACUACAAACCAGAUUGACAAAGACUCUUCCUCUACAGAAAACGAGGGGAGGGAGAAAUAGAGAUACAUAUUGACAAAGACUCUUCCUCUACAUCGACUGAUUCUUAUCGCAGGUAACUUUCAAACUUGAUUCUCAAUUUUCUAUGUAUUCCUUCCAGCGUUUGUUCAAACUUUCAAACUUGACUCUACUCGCCGUGAUCAACAACUGCAGCUUCUUGAAACAGCCUUUCACUCGUCAUAAACGACAAGUGUGGCUUCUUUACCAGUAUGUUUAUUAGUCUCUUUUCUAAUCAAAUUCAUUGCCAUUAAUUAACUGUUUCUCAUCGAUCAUUCAUUUCUGAUCAUAUUUUCAAUUUCCGUUCUAUUCCCAUUUAUACAUCUUUUUCAAUUGUGUAUGAAUUAUUUGCUUUGAUGAAGCAGAAUUAGAUUUGCGUUCAUAUUCAAUUCUAAUUAAUUGACGAUGUCCUUUGAGAGCGAGCCCAAACUAUCUAGCGAUUCGAUAUAAUCGGAGAAAGAUUUUCCAGGGUGAACCAUAUCCUUUACCUGACUAUUGAGCCGUAAAGUUUCCGGUUUCUUAAGGUUUCGGAUAUCCACUCAAUCUAUUGGGACCUGUCUGGAAAUCCCCACAGCCAUGUGACUUGCGAUUCUUCUUCUUAAUAAACGACUUAGUUUUUGCAUUUUUUGUUCGAAUUCAAAGUUUUUUUUAUACAAAUUUGAAGCUUUUCUUCAAGCUUAUUCAUUAUAUAGAUUCCAAAAUUUUUAAAUCCUCUCAAAGUAGUAGGGAUUUGGAAAUGAACUCUGCUAGAGAAGGUGGCUUGCGUUGAAAUUACCAUAAUAACAGUGUUGGGUUGGGAAUUUUUUACUGGUUUUUUAUUUAAUAUGUUUUGAAUCUUAUCUUGCAACCUGUUGUUUUUCUUCAUGGGGUUCAGGAGGAGGAACUUCACCAAGUAUUCAAAGUAAUCAAAGAUUCUUCAAUCCCGAGUUUUACCGAUCAUUCUGUUUGAUCAGGUUGCUACUUCACCCUUUAUGAUAAGUUAUUAGAUGCAUUUCAGUGUGUCCUGCAUUUGAUAACUGAGUUAUUUCGUUAUUGCUAGAAAGGUAAAUUUUACGCUAGAUUGCAAUGCAAGGUAUGUAACUCGAUAGUUUGAUGAGUUUGAAUUAUUUUUUUUAUUAGGGCUGUUGCUACUUAUUUAAUUAUGCUUGGCAAUUAGCCUGCUUGAUCGGGGGUAUGAUCGUUGUGAAUGCCGUAUGAUUGCAAUGGCAAAAUUUUAUUGAUUCAAGUGUGAAAUAGAUAAACAAAUAAGAAAAAACCAUGUUCAUGCGUAAACCAUGUCAUUGUCAUUGAAAAAACUAUAGGUAACCCUCUAAAAAUUAAUAGAUGAAGUCAAUGGAAUUGAGAGCUAUGUAAUCCAAGUCCCAGUUGCAUAUGUUAUUGGUGCAUUCAAGAGCUAGCUAAUUGAGGAAGAAAUUCAGAGGUUGAUGUAAGUUGUCUGCAAAGCAUCAUAACCUAGGGUUGAAGCACUUAGCUUUUCUCUACCCUCUUCCAUAUAAUUAGGAUUACAAGUUGUUUUAGAUAUUCAGUUAAUUUUGAAGCCAUUGGCAAUGUUUCAGUUGCAGAGUUUGAUUUAUCAAUUAUCUGCUAAAUGCAUGGAAUUUCAUCUUUUUUACUUUCAAUUUUGGGUCAAAUGUUGGGAAAUUUUUACUGGUUUUUUUAUAUAAUAUGGUUUAAAUCUUAUCUUGCAGCCUGUAGUUUUUCUUCAUGGGGUUCAGGUGGAGGAACUUCACCAAGUAUUCAAAGUAAUUAAAGAUUCUUCAAUCCCGAGUUUUACCGAUCAUUCAAUUUGAUCAGGUUGCUACUUCAUCCUUUAUGAUAAGUUAUUAGAUGCAUUUUAGUUUGUGAAACUAGGAAGGGCAUUCUUUUUGCUUAGUUGUAAGAUACUUGAGAAGCCGAAUAUUACACUUAAUCAAAGAACCGAAAUGGCAAUGUGCUAUUUCACUUUGUUUCUUUGAUGACUCAAAAUUGUAAUAUGAUUGAACUGAAUGAUUACCUGUUUUCAUCUGCAUCUCCAGAUUCAUUUCUUUCAUUUUUAGAAUCAUCAACUCCAUGAUUACCUGUUUUCUUUCAUAUAUGUUUUUCUUUUACUAAUUUAUGUUUUAACUUUUCGUUCUCUUUCAAUUUUCGUAAAUCUGAGUUUUAGAAAACACAUACAAUUCAUGUUACUAACAAAACUUUUGAUGCUUUUACACACUCAUUGGGAUUGUGUAAUGGUACAAGAUUAUUGUGUCGUGGUAAUUACCAAAAUCUUAUUGAUGCUGAAAUUCUAACUGGACAAUUUGUCGGAUCCAAAGUUUUCUUACCAAGAAUCCCUCUCAAAAGUACUAAUACUGCUGGGCUUCCAUUUAAACUUACAAGAAAGUAGUUUCCAGUGAAACUAAGUUUCUCUAUCACUAUAAACAAAUCUCAAGGUCAGACAAUACCACAUGUAGGCAUUUACCUUCCAGAUCACAUCUUCAGUCAUGAACAAUGAUAUGUGGCUUUAUCGAGGGGGGUCUCAAAGUCAACCACAACCGUGUUAGUAAAAAAUGGCUCCAUAAUCAGCCAACAAGGUGUAUUUACACGGAAUGUAGUAUACAAAGAAGUCUUGCUUCAUUCCAGCUAAUUAUGGUGAUUUCUAAUAGGUAACAAUUUUAUUAUCGAUAACCUUUCAGUAUGCAUUUCUCACUUAUCAAUUAACUCUUUUUAUUUGAUUUUUAAUUUUCUCACUAUCAUUUGUAGAUUGGCAAUGAAAAUUUGAAGCAUCAAUCAUGAACAAAUGGGUGGAAAUUGCAGCAUUGAUAUCAAAAUGAAAACUUUUUUUUCAAAAGAAACGGUGACAUAUAGACUCUAUGGGUAUUGUGAAUAAUGUACAUAUUGUUAUGCAAGAUUUAUAUUUUGACAUUUAAGUUGUUUUGUAUUUUUCUACGAGUAAUGUUUUCAUCUACUCUUUUUUUUACAUCUACUUACUAUUGUCCAUGGACUUUAGGUAGGAACUUGCGUCUAAAAUCCCAUGUUGUUUGACAAGUGCAUGAAUAACAUUUAAAUCAUUACUUUACGCAAAGUAAAAACGAAAAACAUGAUAACUUUUUAGGAUAUGCAUGAUAAAAAAAGAGUUCCUCUUUGCACAAUACAUUUAAAAUAUAUCUUGACAAUUACGAUGGGAAAAACUAACACAAUACACAUUUAGGGGCGCGUAGCACCCGUGAUGUAAAAAUGCCUCUCGCACGCACAUUAGUGGGUGCGGAGAGGCUAGUAAUUAAUUAAGAACAAGAGGACUCGAAACAGAAGCAGCAAAACAUGACCAUGACCAACAACGACAACGUUUUGGAGCCGCCCAUCAAUUUCUCGAUGGUGGAUGAGGGCGUAUUCCGAUCAGGCUUCCCGCAGCCGUCAAACUUCCCAUUCCUCCAAUCCCUUCAACUCCGUUCCAUUAUCUAUCUCUGCCCCGAGCCCUACCCGGAGGAGAGUUUGGAGUUUCUUCGGUCGCAAGGCAUUCGGCUCUUCCAGUUCGGAAUCGAGGGCAAGAAGGAGCGGUCUACGUCUCCGCUGAUUCCAGCAGAGACCAUCUCCGAGGCACUGAAAGUUUUGGUUGAAAUUGAGAAUCAUCCGGUGUUGAUCCACUGCAAACGCGGCAAGCAUCGGACUGGUUGUCUGGUGGGUUGCCUGAGGAAAUUUCAGAAUUGGUGUUUGUCUUCGGCGUUAGAGGAGUACCAGCGGUUUGCCGGCGAAAAAUCUAGGGGGACGGAUUUGAGAUUUAUCGAGACGUUUGACGUAUUGGGCCUCAGGGGGGAUGCCUUCACGGCAUUGUCCGCCAUUAUUAUUAAGUUUAUGCUUCCGGAAAGAGGCGGUUGUUGUACAAACAAGAGUUGCAAACCCAUAAACCCUAGGUGAUGUUUUAGUUUUUACGUGUUGAAAUUUUAUGCCCUUUUAGUUGUACCAUAAUGAAAAUUCAUUCAUUCGCUUAGUGACGGGUCCCACGUAUGGGAGUGAUUUUUUUGUUGUUGUUGAUUUAGCAUAAUCACGAAAUUUAGACAUGCUUAUAAAUUUAGUCCUCAAUUUAGGAGUAGGAAAUUUUUAAGAAUAUAUGGACAUGCAUGUUUACUUAAAAAAUUAGAAUGAAAAAUUAUGAAUGGAGAAAGUCAAAAAUACAAUGAAAGAAAUUCAUAUAAAAUUAACUACCCCUGAUAAAUUUGAUACCUGGAAUGAGAAUAAAAAGUCAUGAAUUGAGAAGUUGGAAAUAAGAUAGAAUAAAUCCGUACGAAAUCAACUACUCCCUGAUAAAUUUGAUUCUUGGCAUGAGAAGUCAUGAAUUGAUACGAAGUCUAAUUCUAAUUCUUUUGACAUAUUUUUUUCUAUUUUUAUUUUAUUUUUUAGUUGUUAAAUUAUCAAUGUAAAGUAGAACUCAAAUACUUUUUGACUCCACAUAACCACAUAAAAAUCAAGAAUUGAAACAGAGUAAUUCUAAUACUAAUUCGUACUCUAUCCUAGUGCAAAAAGUUAGAAUUGUAAAAAUUUAGAGCUGAUCUUGGUGAAAUAUAGAACGUCAUAGGACCAUGAUUCUGGAACUCCUUUCCCUCCUUCGACUGUGGUCGGCCUGGGUCAGAUUUCUUCGUUCAGGGAUUUACCUGUUCUGAAUAGUCUGCCCUUGAUGGGUCAACUCUAGUUAGUUAAUCCAAGCAUAGGAAGAUGAGACAAAAUACACACAAAGUUGUUAGGAUAUCUUUUCUUUUUAUAUUUGAGCGAUAUUCUAGUCUAAUCCAAAUUCAUGGAAGGAGGAUUCAAAUUUGGCUACAAUCGGAUUCACAUAUUAGGAUUGAUUUUAAAUUAAAUCCAGGUUGAUAAAAAUAUUUCAAAAUUUUUAAUGGAAACUUUUUUGUGAAGGUAUUGAAGUUGGGAUUGAAACAGAAGAUAGAGCGUAAUAUAAAGUUACAAUAACAUGUUCUAUUAAAUGAAAGUGACUAAAUAUUGAAAAAAAUGCUACACUGCGUGAUCAACUCCGGCAACGAGCAUUAGCACUGCAUCCACGGUUGUAGGGAUUACUCUGAUUCUGAGCACCCGGCUUGCAGUUGUUGGAGGAAGCACCUCUCUGAGAGCAAGGCACAGUGUUUCUCUGCAGAGCUUCAUAGCUUAUGUUUCGUGAGGUGGCCAAGAUGCGCCUGCUAAUCUCCGAGUCCAUGCCAAAUUCAUCAUCACGAUCAUCCAUACACUCUGCUACAGAACCCUCGCGGCGAGGUCUCACUGGAACCCAGCUCACCCCAUGAUCGCCGCCUGCAUCAACGGAGAUGAUCAGAGCGGCCACGAAGGCCAAGGAAAAGAUAAUCGCUGAGGAAUUGGCCAUAGGUUUUGGUAUGGUCUGUGUUUUUAGCUGCCAACUUGUAUUUUGUUGUACGCCUGUUUAAUUACUGAGGGAGACAGAUGGGGCGGCAAGAGAGAGAAGAGUUGGUGAAUUCUGAUGUAUAUAUUAUUGCACUCUAUUGUGUUAUUUAUAGUAGUAAAAAGUAUAAAAAAGGGAAAGUCCUAAGGGAAAAUCCUUAUCUUUCAGGCAAUCCAUCUUAAAUAACACACAAUCUACAAGAUAUUCUGCAGUCCCAUAAGGAUUUUUUACACAAAAAUUCCUAGUAAGUUUGGACUUUGAUACAUUUAAAUUUGAUUAAAUGGAAAAUUGGAUGCUGAUUUCUUCAAGGAGGUGAUUGUGGAUGCAAAUUUCUUCCUCCUUGAUCUUGGACAAAAUUGGACCUACAAAACAAUUAACACCUUAGGGUCAAGGCCAAGAGCCUCACGUGUCCACGAUGAACGCGGGGGGGGGGGCUUUGGCCGUUUGGCCGAAGAACCUCUGAUGCCAAAGUUAGAAUUUAGAGAGAAAAGUGUUUAGAGAGUAUUGGGAAUUUUGCGUGUUGGACCUAGGUUUUGGUGAAAAUGGGAGCCAAUACAUAGGGCAUAGGGUGUAACUUAUGGUUUAAUGUGUGAUUUAAUGGAUUAAUUAGGCAAUUAAUCGAUUAAUUGGUUAAUCAACACAUUUUUGGCAUAAAUAUUUUGGGGGUUAUGUAAUUUAUACCUUGUGGAAAAUAUAGGAUGAGGAUGGAUGAAAUAACUUUGAAUUUGUUACUUAUUUUGGGCAUGCUUGAUUUGGUUGAAGGAUGAUUGCCCGCUACUCGCGCGUAGGAAUCCCGUUGUACCUCAAGGGUAUUUUUGUCUUCUUUUGUCCAAAAAUCCACGUGUCGCCUUGUGAUUAUUUUUGGCUCCAUAGUGAUUACUUAAAUGACUUGCACUAAUUAGCCUUAGGGCUAGUUUGGUAUUACUGUGCUUUGAAAAAAACUGCUUCUGCUGUGCUGCGAAAAUAAACAACUGUGAAAUAAAGCGGUAGAGUGUUUGGUAAACUUUUUUGUAAAAAUGCUUUUAGCAAAAAAAUCAGUGUUAAAGUGUUUGGUAAAUUUUUAUAUAAAACUGCUGUGAUUAGGUUAAAUGACUAAAAAUGAUAUAAUGUUAAAUUUAAUAUAUAAUUUUUUAUUUUUUAAUCUCUAUAAUUGUUGAGUCAUCCAAACUCUUCCAUUUUCCAAAUCCCAUUUAUAAUUCUAGAGUCAUCCUUUUCGCCUAAUUUUUUUUUUCAUCUGACGUUCAGAUCCGAUACGUUAGCGUUCCGUUGGUUAUCAGACAGGAUCAAACUAAGCGUAGGCUGUUUCCGGAUCAGAUCUAGUCGAAGAGCUCUCCCCUAUCGUACUUAACUUGAAUAAGGCAGUUUCCCACUAGCCGCUUAAAGGAGUACUCAAGGAUUACCCUAUUACCGAUCUCGAACUGGCCUCCUACUGUCCUCGCUAAGAAAGAGUCUGCCCGCUUAAUUCAAUGAAGUAGUUGAUAUUUAUCUAUUAAAGUAAUUUAUCAAUUACGGCAUUCAAGGUCGGAUGAUAACAGUUCUCUUUACCCAAGAAGCUCGGGGAAAGGAAACAGAAGCCAUGCAGACUGAAAUUGACGAACUCCCCACCCACACUAAAAAGCAAAUAAAGACCCAUGUUUAGCGUCCUCCACUCUAAGGACCACAUCAUCCAGAAGUUCAAUCUCAUUUACCUCAAGAUCAUCGACAAGAUCGAUCUUCCAAUUUCUGAGACUGAUAUUUCUACCAUUUUUUCCCCUAGUUAUAUAACUUCCACUACCACUAGUUUCCCAGUUUCAUCUCCCCUACCAUCCAUGGCGUCUGCAAGCUCUCACAAACACCCAUCUCUUCUGUCAUCCAUUACUUUCCCCAUCACUUUCCCACCUUCCUCUUGGAGUUGCAGAAGGAGCUUGCUAUGAAGAUCUGUUGUGUGAAAUUGUGCAUCUUGGAUCGAGCACUUUUUUGACAACUGGGUUUUGGAUUUGUUUCCUGGUCUACAAUGCCACGAUGAGUUGAAAAAUACUCUGAUCAGAUUUCGAUUUCGAAAAUUGAAAUCCGACAAAACAAAAAUAUCAAUGAUGAAGAUUCAAUCUCAACCCAGCGAGAAGGAGAAACGGAGGAGAGUAUUUUUGAGAUUGUGAAAGUUUCAUUAAAAUAUACUGUUCACCCGCCUCCUUGAAAAAAUAAGUUGGUUUUGAGAAAUAACAAAAUGUAGCUUCUGUUUUUUGCCACUUUUCAGCUUUUAAUGAUCUGUGACUUUUAAAAUAAGCAGUGUUACCAAGCACAAAUUGUACUCCAAUUUUUUUUCAUCCCAGCUUUUAAAAUAAUUUAAGCAGUACCAAACCUUACCUUAUUCUAAUUGCAACAAAGAAAGCUGAAAUUGGAAUAAUUCGUGAUUUGUUCAAACCAAGAAUACAAAAGCAACAACCUACUAGAAAAUAUGCUCGUAGAGAUUUACGGGUUGUUUCUGCAAGUAAUUUUGCUAAAAGCGCUUUUAUUAGAACAACAUUGAGAAAUCAAUUUUAUAAUGAUAUGAGCAUGCCAAGAGAUUAAACUAGUUUACAACAUCAAUAUUAUAAUGAUAGUACUCUCAGUUCAUUCUUGCUCAUAGAAUUAAAGAGAGAAACCGAACUAAACAACAAUGCGGACUAGCUUGGUCAACUCUCAGGCCUUUAUUCUUGAAGAUAGCAAAAUUACUCAAAGUUCCAUAUCAUAUGUAUGCAUAAAUCUUGUGCUUGGCACUUAUUCCUUGAGAAGAUGUGCAUCAAUAUCUUUAAUGACAUUGACCAUAAAGCUGAGGUACUUCUGUGGAGGCGGAUCGUUCUCGUUGAGUUUUUCAUAUUCUAAAGUAAUUUUCACAAAACCUCCUUCACUCUUUGGAGUGACCUGGAAAAUGAUCUUGUAGCUUUUGUAAUUGUCCAGCACAUGUGAUCCUUCCAGAGCUGUAAGACUCACCCACUUGUUUACUUCAUCUAUUUCCACCUUUUCCUUGAAUGUCUCGACAUUUCCAUCUACACGUCACAUGGAAAAUUACAAUGAUACAUCUAUUCAUGGAGAGAUUUUUCAAUGCUCAGAACACUGGGUGGUACAACACAUGUUAUUAUACAAACGAAUGAAAAUUAUUUUCAAAUGUCUCUUCACUUAUAUAAUGAAAUAUAAUUUAUAUAUCCAUGUUCUGAGCACACUAAAAAUUCUCUCCUGUCCAUGAUCCGAUUCUUUAUAUAUUCAUCGUCAGGUAAUGCAAACCUAAUGGCGCAUGGAUGGCCUGGUCAAUAUAUUUCAGUUUUAAUUCUAGAAGAAUCUUAUACGUACAUAUACAUAUCACGUUAGCAUGUUUAUUUCAUAGCAGGUUAGUUUGUGUUAUUCAAUAAUAAUAAUAAUAAUAAUAAUAAUGUUACAGUAUUAACUAUAAACGUAACAUUAUUAUUAUACAACUUUUUUUAACAAACAAUAUUAUCUACAUUAAGGGAAAGAGGUGAGCUUAGCCUCACAAUGUUUGAAUGAUGGAAAUAAAUUUGGACUUUUGACAAAAUUUAGAAUUUAUAAAUUAACAUGCACCAAUUCUCUUGUCUAGAUUCAUAAACAUAGAAAUUUAGAAUUUCCGCGUGAAAAAAAGGGAGAAUUUGAGACCUCCAAUUCCCAAGUUUAAAUUUCAUGUAAAUAAGUCACUCAGUACUACGGUCUUGUAGUAUUUCUCUUCACUUGAAAGUGAGAGGUUAUAAGUUCGAAUCUUGUUGAUGACGAAUUUGAUACCAAAUUAGGCUACCCAUUGUGUGGCUUUGCCGAACUCCUUAGUGUAAAAAUAUCGAUGUACUAAAAAAAAUCAUGUAAAUAGGUGUUAUUCCAAAUUUUUAUGAGUGAGAGUUUAAAGAUAACAAAAUCUAUAUUGAAUUUAUAUUAUUCUUUUAAGUUAGUCAAACAAGAAAAUUUACAAAUUCUAGAAAUAAAAUUUCUUAGUAAUUUUAAAUUUUCUCAUCCAAACAGAAUGUUAGAGUCAUGAUGUAACACCCGUCGCUUUUUAUUUAACAAAAUUAAUUAUUAGUUUAACUAGGUUAGGAGGAGAGAGGAGGGUGAUUAAUUUCAUAUUACCUAGGGUGUAUUUCCAGAGCUUGACAGAGCCAGAAGUUUCCCAGUCACCUUCAUGUACUGCAACAUCGUGUAUUUUAUCAGAGGCUGCUUUGGGGACGUCGUGGUGCUGGUUGCUGAUGACUUUGUACAACUUAUCAGCGUUGGCUUUGAUCUCUACCUCAGCCUCCACAGUCAGCUUGCAAGCACCAGCUCCACUCACUGCCAUUUUCUUUUAUUUGUUAUUAGUAAUAUGUGAUUAGUCUGGGGAAAUUGUAGGAGACGUAUACUAACCUACAGGUUUCAACUUCUUAUAUAGAGUCGCAAAGUUGUAAAUUAACAUGUUAUAAACUGAUAGUUAUGGAGGCAGCGUGUGGAUAUGAUCCGAUCACUUAAUUAAAUAGUUAUAUAAUAAUAUUGUGUCUGUGGAUCUUCCAGGCAGAGUUUUAUUAAUUAUUACAUCUAGGGGUGGAAUUUUUUCCCGAAAAUCCCGAACCGUCCCGAUCCCGUCCCGAAAUUUGACUGAAAAAUUCCCGAACCGAAUUUUCCGAAACAUUCGGUACCCGAAACCGAACCCGUCCCGAAAGUUUUGGGUUGGGAUUUGGCCACAGCUUUGAAAGCUUUCGGUAAUCCCGAACCGAACCGAUUAUUAUAUAUAUUUAUUUUUAAUUUUUAAUUAGAAAUUACUUGAACCGUUGGAUUUGUUAAAAUCUAAUCCAACCGUCCAUUAGUUAGGUCAUUUUAUUAGGUUGUGAUCAGAUCUCUCGGACUCACUCACUCUCGGUCUCUCCGCUCCACUCUCGCUCACUCUCUGCGCUCCGCUGUCACUCACUCUCUCCGCUCUCUCUUGCUCACAGUCUCAGUCUCCCUCACACGCACUCUCACAAACAGUCUCGCCGCCCGUGCUCCCGCCGCUCUACUCCUCCGUCGAAUCCACGCUGCUCCUCAUCCUCCACAACUCACGCAAACACAGGAAGGAACCAAUUGAGUCCCAAAAUCCAGGAUAGGGUUUUUAAUUUUCACUGGGGUUUUGUCCUUUCUCUCUCUUUAACUCUUCAGACAGCAUUUCACAGAAACCCAAUUAAACAUAUGAAAAUAUACAAGCAACAACCUGUAAAAUUUAACAUAAAUAAACAAUGGUAAACUACAAUUAACAUAAAAAUUGCUCACAGAGAGAGAGAGAGAGAGUUCUUACAUGAGGUGCUGCAAUUGCUUGAGAGAGUUCUUACAUGUGGCUUUGUAGCUAGUGUGGAUUGUGACCUACUUAUUUGUGUGUUUAGAUACGCAAGCUAAGUAUAGCUGAUUGGUUUCGUAUCUGUUUGAGAUUUUUAUUUUAUUUUAUUUUGCUGUCAUAAUGUGCAGGACAAUCCCAAUUUCGAGGGUGAAACAUGUAGGAUCACUACUAGAAAUUUCCACUUUGCCGACAAAAAUAGUUUGUAGGCAAAAGUCAAAAUUCGUCGGCAAAGAGCCUUUCCCAACGAAAAAUUUUGUCGGCAAUUUUGUCGCUAAAAGCAUGUCGCGCAAGAUCUUUCUCGACAAAUCUUGAUAUUUCGUCGGCUCAUUUUUAAGGCGACAAAUCUCAGCCGUCAAACUGUGCCCAUCACCAAAACAACAUUGCGACAAAAUAUUUUGUCAGCAUAGGUUGUUUCUUCGCGAUGAAAUUAUUUGUCGGCUUAGUGAUCUUGUCGCGACAAAAUAUUUGUCGGCUGAGUAAUCUUGUUGCGACAAAACAUUUUGACGGCUAAGUAAUCUUGUCGUGACAAAAUGGUUUUUCGGCUAUGUAGUCCUAUGACAACAAAUUGGUUUGUCAGCUCAAAUGACUUGUGUAGACAAAAUAAUUAGUUGGUUGAAUCUUUUGUGAACAAAAACAUUUGUCGGCUAAUUAAUUUUGUGCCGACAAAACAUGUCAAGUCCAAUAUUUUCUAAUUUUUAAUAAUAUUUUUAACCAUCACAAACAAGCAAGCUUAAGAGAUCGAGAAGGGGCGUGAAUGAAGAAUUAAUGUAGGAACAACACAAAAUUCAUGUAAUAUAAACUAAUGUAAGGUUCACAAUUCGGUGUAGCUACAAAAUACAAAAAUAUCUAUGUUUUCAUUUCGAGAUUACUAUAAUAUAGAUAAAAUAUCCUUAAGUAUCACCAUUCUCACUAUAGUCCUCAUCAAGUUGAUAUGCAGCAUCAUGAAAUCGGGAAACGAUAAGGAUCAUCAUGAAACACUCCAGUAUCAAACAACUGUAGAAGAAAAACAAAUUAAAAAACUUGAUUAGCAAACGUUAAGGGUGCUAAAUAUCAUUGACAUUAAGGAACGCAAGGCCACACUAGUGGUAUUUCUAAACAAAUAACUUAUGAAACCAUAAAUGUGUAAACAACAAGAUAAAGAUAUCUACUAAUCAAGUUAACUUACCAACGCCAUGCAGCAUCACAACCUAGCAAAAUUACAUGUUUAAUAGAUACCAGGUAAUAACCAAGUUAACAUCAACUACUUAUAUGUCAUUCAUCAUUGUAAACAACAAGAUAAACAUUAUAAACAGCAAGGCAACAUGAUUAUCACUCUGUAAACAAGGCAGCAUGAUAAGUAGAUCAUAUAAAUCCUUGAAAGGUAUAUAAUUUAUAUAAACAUAACAAUACCAAUCACCUAUCUAAGUAGGUUAUAACUCUAGAACAUAAGCAUAUGCACCUGGAAACAUAAAUAAACUAUACUAAAGCAUCCUAAUUCAUCAUUGUUUAUAAUCUUUAUCAGUGUAAACAAGAAGAUAUAGACAUCUACUAAUCAAGUUAAUCCUCAAAUAUCAAAAUUACCUGGUGUGAAUGAUCCUCACAUUGGUCUCCAUGCCGUGCUGAUACCAGUUGUAAGCUAUCUAGCCCAGAAUUCCACUGAGCCAUAGACAACCUGCAAGUGUUAUAGAAAGGAAAAACAAAUAUGUCAAACCUAGACCACAAUAUCGAAAAAUUACAGUGGAAAUCUGGAAUUAAAGUCAAAGGACAUUGUUUUCACCAAUAUUAUACAAAUGGAUUGCCAAAUCAACCAAAAAUUGGAAACCUAGAUCAUAAAACUCGAACCCAAAUGAAAUAGUUCAAUUAAGAACAUGUUUUUCAUCCAUAUAUGCGAUUCAAUCAAAGCAAAUACAAUUAUUUCAUUUUCCAAUAAAAACAUGGAAAACGAAUACAAAAACAAACAAACAAGUUAGCAAAUUAAUGUGGUAAGGAAAAUGCAUAUACAAAAUCAUGAUAAAACCUGCAAUCAUGAUAAAAAAAUAUAAUAUUACAAAGAUAGAAAAAAAUUCCAGCCUUGAAUAUUUAUAACACAAAGAGAAUGAAAACUUCAUUUUAUAUCCAAUUCUACUCUCUCACUGACUGAUUAAUUAUGUGUGUUCCCCAUUUCCCAUAUACCAUUCCAUUCCAUUAGUUUUAAUAGGAAAGAUCAUCCAAAUCAUCUAAAACAAUGAAAACUUCAUUUUAUAUCCAUGAACAAAAGCUCCAAACUCUGAAAAACAAAACCAAUUUUAAUUCAUUCCAGAGCAACUGAAUAAAACAGAACUAAACACAACUGAGAAGAAAAACUGUUUAAGCCAAUCACACAGACUAUAUUAAAUCUUUACAAACCAACCGAAUGAUGCAGAAAUGCUUAAUAACAAAAUAGUUAAGCAACAAAUCAUGUAAAAUAAUCAUAAGUCAACUCAACAAAACCAAACAAAACACCGACACCACUGAAUAAACCCUGCCCAUUGGAAAAAAAUAAUACCUAACAAAGAACCCAACCACUGCAAGUGUAAAUUCAAAAGACAUAAGCGUUCAAACACUGCAAAAAUAAGUGGAAGAAAAACACAAAGUCACCAAAGACAAAAGCUUCCUAAAACGAAAAAUCAAACCAGAUGGAACAACCAUAGACAAAUGAUCACAAAAUAGAAGAAAACAUUUGAAAGAAAGAGCUAACAGACCUUUAUUCGAAAGGGCUUGCAACGCUGUUCACAAAACCCCCAAACUCUGGAGACCAAUAUUUUCUGCAACACAAAAGCCAAUCAGAUUAGGGAACCACACCGAAAUCACUAAAAAAAUAACCAAACAAUGAAUGAAAAACGCUAAAAGUUCAAUUUCACACCGAUCAAGCAAUAAUGUAUAGGAAAACCCUAAACCCGAAAGACCCAAAUUUCCCAAAACGAAAAAUCGAAUUAGAUCGAACAGCCACACCAAAAUAAGCAGAAAAAAAGAAGAAAACAUUCGAAACAAAAAACUUACAGACCUUAAUCACAUAUGCUCUGCAAGACUAUUCCCAAAAACCCUAAAAUUCACACACCAACUUUUGCUGAAACCAAAAACCCAAUCGGAUUAAACAAACACGCUAAAAACAAAGAAAAAAUUAGGAAACAACCAAUAUAACACAAACACUCUAAUUUUACAGGCAUCAAUCUGCAAAUUUUCUUCCCAAUCAAAGAAAACACACACACACACACACAAAAAAAAAAAAAAAAAAGAGAAACGACCUCAAACAGCGCAAUGAAUCAGAAAAAGAAACUCUUCAGACAACAGAGGAUCGAUGCAGAGAGAUAAGCAGAGACACGAAAGAUCAAGGCAGGCGGAAGAACACAUAAACAAAGAGGAAGAAAAAAGGGAAAGCUACGGAAGAAAAUAAGCGAUCCCUCGCUUCCGCACCAAAAACGACGGAGACCACGUGGUAGAUGCAGCAAUUGAAAUUAAACAGACCAAGCAGGGGCAAUUGCGUCACAACACUGUUACUUUCACUGUUCAUCAACAGUGUUCCACCCGUUUGGGUUUUAGUAUAUAUAGAAUUUAUACUUUCAUUAAGUAUAACAUAAGAAUCUGUGGUAUCCACAAGUGUAAAUAUUUUAAAUUGAAGAUCGAGCUCAUUCAUUGUAUUCAUAUAGGAUCAAGGAGUGUAGCUGUACAAAAUCAUCAAAAUCGAAGUUAAAAUAACCGUUAAAUCAUGAUUUUUCGUUUAUAACCGUCAGAACGUUUUGUCUCCUUACAUGAUCUCUGAAGGUUUUUUUUUUGCAAUUUUUGGCGUAUACGAUCUCGAAACAUAUAUAAACAAGUUUGACGGUUGGAUCGUUGAAACUAGUUUCGUAUAAUGCGUAUCCUAUGAAAAUGAUAGAUUCACUAACACUUAGAGUUUAUUUAUACUUUCAUUAAGUAUAACAUAAGAAUUUGUGGUAUCCACAAGUGUAAAUAUUUUAAAUUGAAGAUCGAGCUCAUUCAUUGUAUUGAUAUAGGAUCAAGGAGUGUAGCUGUAAAAAAUCAUCAAAAUUGGAGUUAAAAUAACCGUUAAAUCGUGAUUUUUCGUUUAUAGCCAUCAAAAAAUUUUGUCUCCUUACAUGAUCUCUGAAUGUUUGUUUUUUGCAAUUUUUGGCGUAUGCGAUCUCGAAACAUAUAUAAACAAGUUUGACGGUUGGAUCGUUGAAAUUAGUUUCGUAGAAUGUGUAUCCCAUGAAAAUGAUAGAUUCACUAACACUUAGAGUUUAUUUAUACUUUCAUUAAGUAUAACAUAAGAAUUUGUGGUAUCCACAAGUGUAAAUAUUUUAAAUUGAAGAUCGAGCUCAUUCAUUGUAUUCAUAUAGGAUCAAGGAGUGUAGUUGUAAAAAAUCAUCAAAAUUGGAGUUAAAAUAACCAUUAAAUCGUGAUUUUUCGUUUAUAGCCGUCAAAAAGUUUUGUCUCCUUACAUGAUCUCUGAAUGUUUGUUUUUUGCAAUUUUUGGCAUAUGCGAUCUCGAAACAUAUAUAAACAAGUUUGACGGUUAGAUCGUUGAAAUUAGUUUCGUAGAAUGUGUAUCCCAUGAAAAUGAUAGAUUCACUAACACUUAGAGUUUAUUUAUACUUUCAUUAAGUAUAACAUAAGAAUUUGUGGUAUCCACAAGUGUAAAUAUUUUAAAUUGAAGAUCGAGCUCAUUCAUUGUAUUCAUAUAGGAUCAAGGAGUGUAGCUGUAAAAAAUCAUCAAAAUUGGAGUUAAAAUAACCGUUAAAUCGUGAUUUUUCGUUUAUAGCCGUCAAAAGGUUUUGUCUCCUUACAUGAUCUCUGAAUAUUUGUUUUUUGUAAUUUUUGGUGUAUGCGAUCUCGAAACAUAUAUAAACAAGUUUGACGGUUGGAUUGUUGAAAUUAGUUUCGUAGAAUGUGUAUCCCAUGAAAAUGAUAAAUUCACUAACACUUAGUUUAUUUAUACUUUCAUUAAGUAUAACAUAAGAAUUUGUGGUAUCCACAAGUGUAAAUAUUUUAAAUUGAAGAUCGAGCUCAUUCAUUGUAAAUAUUUUAAACUGAAGCCCUUUUGUGACGCCAGCAUUAGUGUCGCUAUUCCAAUCCGACAUUACAUUGUUUUAUGUCAGAUUUUUUUCUAAAUUUCCGAUAGAAAUUGGGUUUCUUGUCGGUUUUUGCUUCGCCACUGAUAAGGUAUAUUGCAGUAGUGGGUGUUGGUACCAAGUAACAGAUUCAUGAUAAAUCGUUCAUUUAUUUGAUUCACAUACAUUAUCUCUGAGCGGGAAGAUCCCCGCCAAAAUAUUACAUGAUAUUUUAAAUGAUUUUUCGUUAGUUUUCAUUUUUUAUUAAAGUGUAACAAGGUAUGUUUAUAUCUUUCGCCAAAAAAGUAACCAAAAAUUGUUAGAGAAGGGAGACAGAUAAUAGGGGCGUGGAUGAUAAUCAGUUAAGAGUGCAAGAAUCGUAAACCUAGGGAUAGAAAUCGUCAAAAUUGUUUCUGAGCGGGAAAGACCCCGCCAAAUUGUUAGAAGAUAAAUAAGAAUUCUUAUCAAACUGAAAUCGGAUGGCGUGAGCGAAGAAUGUGGGAGGGAAGUCAUGAGCAAUUGGGAUUAGCAUGCAAUUGGGAGGGAGAUCAUGAGGCGACAAAAUAGGAAUAGCAUGCAAUGGGAGGGAGAUCAGGCAAUUGGGGGAUGUGAACCGACAAUUGAGGGAUGUGAACUGACAAUUGGAAUAAUAGAAAUAUUAUGGGAGGGAGAUCAUGAGGCGGCAAAAUAGGAUUAGACAAAAUAUGGGAGGGAGAUCAUGCAAUUGGCAGAUGUGAACCGACAAAUUAGGUUUGGAUUGCCACGGGAAAUUUAUAAGUUUGUUCUUAUAAUCAUAUGUUAUGUUUUUAGAAAACUUGGCAUGCUUGUCGAAUUAGAAUGGAUGAUUACAUACAACUGUAUUCAAAUUUACAAUUGUAAUUGCUAAUAAUUGAUCAUAGCCUAAACCAAGUUAUAUGUUGCUAGAAAGUAGUUUGGAGUUAGAAUUGAUAGGAAGAACUUUUUCAAACACUCACAUAUUAUGAAAUCAAAUUGUCAAUAUAGAUUAUUGAUGGCAUAAAACUACAAUCCAGAAAUAUGAAAUGCUAGAUAUCUCUUUAUCUAUGCUCCCGUUCAUAUAGAGAAACAAGAGAGAAUGACAGCAUAAAUAGUUGCCAAGAGCUUUGAUUGUGUUCCCCGGAAAAAAAUGGAUAGGUGCACUGGUGAAAACCUCUCACGUAGAGUUAUUAAUACCUUACCAAUGACAUACUUUAUUGCCUCUCUAAUCAAUUUGCCGAUGAAAUACUUUGUUGCCUCACAUCAUCGGCUAAUAUUUCAAUAUAGUGGGAAAAGUUCCCGCCAAAGUUUACCCGUCAAAACAAAAUUUGUCAGGGUAUCGAAUUUACGCCUACAAAAUGAUCGUCGGCUAACGUUUCAAUUUUCUCGGCUAAGAUUGGCAUUGUAAAUUGGUUCUAGUGUGAGUAUUCAGCCGACAAAUUAAAAAUUUCGUCGAGAAAGGACUCUUGUGCCGACAAAAUUUUGCUUUGUCGGUUUAAUUUGUCGGCAAAAUUAUAAUUUCUAGUAGUGGAUAUGCAUGAAUGCAAUAAUCGACAGGGGUGUUCUCGAUUGCUGCCAGCAUUGGUAUGUGCUUUAGUGUGGUUUUGUGUGUGUGAGAGAGAGAGAGAGAGAGAGGAAUUUUAUUUUAUGACAUGGGUUCAUCUUGGGGUUUUCAGGUUCUGUUUCUCAUGCAUUGACAAUUGGGCUACCAUUACAAACCUCUGCCCGCUUUGCCAGAAUGAAUUUCAAAUGAUCACAUGUGUUUCGGAGAGUGAUGCAAAUAAACAGUUAUCGCUUUAGUAUUAUUUCUGUUAUGAUUGCUAUGGAUUAUAGAAUGGUAUUAAUGUACAACCAGUUUAAAGCACAGUUGUUACUUUGAUUUCUUAACUAUCUGUUUUCAAUAGUUUUCUUUUUGUUGCAAACAGAAUUUUUAUUUUGAAGUUUUCUCAAAAUAACGAUUUGAUGCUGGUUUGAAGUGGCACUAAAUCAUAAGAGUUUGAUUUGUAUGUGAAGGUAUACGAUACUAUUGGGAGCAUCAAAGCGGACGAGGACUCAACUUAUAGGUACUUUCAUAAUUAUGGAUAAUGUGUUUAAGUCUAUUGGUGAGGGUUCUUUGUUCACAUUUAUGCGGCACAUGUUCCCAAUUUGGAAGCUUGGUUUGUAAAACUUAACUUAUUUCAUUUUGGUUGCAUGCACUUUUAAUUAAAUAGUUUGGUAGACAAAUACAAUUGUGAACUUAAGCUUAACUUGUUAGUUGCUUCCUUUGUAUGAAAAUUGAAACAUGUGGUAUUGUGAUAUUCAUAUUGUGGUGAAAUUGAAACAGGUGGGCUGGGCAGUGGCUGUGUAACCUUAAUUUUUUUUUUUUUUGGGGGCAGUGGCUGGCUGCAAUCUUAAAAGCCCAACAUUUUGGGCUUCAAGGCCCAAUCCCGAAGUAUCCCGAAAAUCCCGAAACACUUUCGGGAAUCCCGAAUUUCGGGAAAUGCACAUAUUCGGUUCGGUUUCGGGAUAUAAAAGCCCAUCCUGAAAUGUUUUGGUUUGGGAUUCGGGAAAGGAGUUUCGGUUCGGGAUCCCGACCCGAACCACCCCUAAUUACACCUACCAAACUUAAGAGCACGCGCAAACUUGAUGAGACAUAUAUCAACACGUGAGAACAAUGAUUGAUCAACAUUACCUCCAUAGUAUUAUUAGAGUGAAUGAUUGUAUGAUAUUAAUUUACUAGAGUGAAUGAUUGUAUGAUAUUAAUUAUGCGUUAAGAUCUUGGGAAUUUUAAUGAAAAAUUACUGGUAUUAUUCAUUUUAAUAAAAAAUUACAUUUUUACAUUAAAAAGUCAAUCUUAGUACUAUUCACUUUAUUCUUUAUUUUGUCCUUAUUGUUAAAACUCAAAGUUUUCAAGUCAUUUUCAUUAAUUUUCCUUAAGAUCUUUUGAUUUGGCAUGCGGAAGUGUGUGUGUUUGUAUAUUAUAUAGGGAUAAUACUAAGUUAGGUUCAUAUUAUCUUAACUAGUGAUAAAUUAAGGGUUCUUUCGAGUUAUUCGAAACAGUGGUUUAUAUUAUCUUGACUUACGUGCAACCUAAACACAAAAAAGAGAGGCUGUACUGGCUUCCAAAAUAAAACUAGAUGCAAACAAUAAUGUGGAGUUCCGGUUACUCUUUUGGAAUCAACCAAAGCUGAAUCAUUGAUGCCUAAUUUCAGAAAGUUUUCCUUUUCUGCAUGCAGAUCUUUUCAAUGGAUGUAGCUCAGUUUUGGGAGGUAACCACUUACUUCAUCGAGUUCAUUAAUUUUAAUCAAUCUAAAGUAAUUUAACUAAGUUUAUUAACCUUACAAUGUUGAGCGUUAAUACCCAAUUUUGGAGGAAUUGCAUCACGUUUAUGUAAAGGUAAUCGAAAUAAUAGAGCGGAAUUAAAUUCCAAUUACGGAAUACUCCAGUAUUUACCAAAUAUUGGAGAAUAAAAAAUUUGAUAGCACCCACUCAAUUUUUUAAUCCAAUACUAAUUCAUAUUCAAAUUUUGGAAUAAAAAAUCUAAUACUAAUUCGUACUCAUCAAAUGAAAGUAAAAUCUAAUUCUUCAUUUUUUAAGUAAUUAUUGUAAUGUGAGUAAACGCAUGAAAAUCAUGAUUUAGAAUAUUUUCUAAUGCAGACUCUAAGUCUGAAAUUGAAAUAUAAAGAUAGCCGUUGACGGGUCGAUUCUGGUUAAUCUAGGCAUGAGAAUACGAAAAAAAUACACACAAAGUUAUUAAGAUAGCUUUCCUUUUUUAUAUUUUAGCGAUAGUCUAGUCUAAUCCAACAUUAGACCACAUUCAGUGAUUCAAACUAAGAGAAGGGGGAUUCAAACUUGGCUACACUCGGAUUCUCAUAUGAGGAUUGAUUCUGAAGUAAAAGAAUAUAACCAAGUUGAUCAAGAAAUUUCAAAAUUUCUAAUGGAAACUUAUUAGAAAUUUUUUGUGAAGGUGUUGAAGUUGGGAUUUUUUUGUUUGUUUUCGUAUUGAAGUUGGGAUUGAAACAGAAGAUAAAGCAUAAUAUAAAGUUUCAUUACAAUUAACAACAUGUUCUAUUAAAUGAAAGUGACUAAAUAUUGAAAAACAUGCUACGCCGCGUUGAUCAACUCCGGCAACGAGCAUUGGCACUGCAUCCGUGGUUGUAGGGGUUGCUCUGAUUCUGAGCACCCGGCUUGCAGUUGUUGGAGGAAGCACCUCUCUGAGAGCAAGGAACAGUGUUUCUCUGCAGCGCUUCAUAGCUUAUGUUUCGUGAGGUGGCCAAGAUGCGUCUGCUAAUCUCCGAGUCCAUGCCAAACUCAUCAUCACGAUCAUCCAUGCACUCUGCUACAGAACCCUCGCAGCGAGGUCUCACUGGAACCCAGCUCACCCCAUGAUCGCCGCCUGCAUCAACGGAGAUGACCAGAGCGGCCACGAAAAUCAACGAAAAGAUAAUCGCAGAGGAAUUAGCCAUAGGUUUUGGUACGGUCUGUGUUUUUAGCUGCCAACUUGUAUUUUGUUGUACGCCUGUUAAUUACAGAGGGAGAGAGAGGGGGCGGCAAGAAAGAGAGAGAUAAUCGGUGAAAUUUUGAUGUGUAUAUUAUUUCACCCUAUUGUGCUAUUUAUAGUAGUAAAAAGGGAAAAUUUUUGUCUUUCAAGUAAUUCAUAGGAGUUAGGGAAAAUCCUUGUCUUUCAAGUAAUCCAUCUAAAAUAGGACACUACGUAAAAGAUAUUAUACAAUUCCAUAAGGAUUUACACAAUCACAUUCCUAAUUAAAUUAAGACUCUGACAUUUUUAAGUUUGGUUAAAUAAAAAUUGGAUGUUGAUUUCUUCAAGGAGAUAAUUACUUAAUUGACAUGCUUUAAUUCAACCUUAUUCCAAUUGCAACAAAGAAAGCUGAAAUUGGAAUAAUUCGUGAUUUAUUCAAAACCUACCAAGAAAACAAAAUCAACAACUACUACAAAAUAUGCUCGUAGAGAUUUCCGGGAUGUUUCUGCUCUUAAGUGUUUUUGCUAAAAGCUCUUUUAUCAGCACAAGGUUGAGACUUUAAUUAAAAAACUAAGUUUUUCUCGAAAAAAUAUAAGCAUGCCAAUAGAUUGAACUUGUUUACAACAUCAGCAUUAUAAUAAUAUUGUUGGAAAAUAUUAGGUUUACUUUAAUGUUUGGUUUUCUGGGCUUAGCCCGUUAGUAUUAGGGUUUCGUUUUCUUGCUUAUUAGGGUUAUGUUAGUUCUCUAUAUAUAUGGUGUUUUGUAGCUUGUAUGAUUAACAAGUUAGUCACAAUGUAGUCUCUAGGGUUUUUGUAGCCGUCUCGGCAUUCUAUGUUUGAUAUCAAUAAUAUUUCUAGUUUUGUAAUCCGUUUGUUUGUUCAUUGUGGUAUGUGCACUCUGAUAUUCAACUUGGUAUCAGAGCGGGUUUGAUUCCUCGGAAUUUAAUCUGUUUUGGAUGGAUAUCAAUUUGUUCAUCUGUUUGUCCACUGCGUAUCAGUUCGUCAUGGUAUGUUUUGUUGGUUUGUCUGUCUAGUAGUAGUUAGGGUUUUGUUAUAUGUUUAAAAAAAAAAAAAAAUUGAAUCAGUUUGCUGCGUCAUGUCAUCGUCCUCUGCUAAACUUGGAAUCGCCGCCACGAACCCCACAUCACCAGCGUGCUCCUACCAUCAGGACAUCACCGCGCCAACCCGCCAUGCCUGCACCCAGUGCCACCAUGUCCCGCCUACAACCCCGUUGUCUUACCACCACCUGCUGUAAACCCACAUCGCUCGCCUGCUUGCGCGCCGUGCAGACGGGAUUUGAUAAAGCCACACCAACUUGCUGCAAAUACAUGCAGUUGAUCCGUACCCAUGAGCCUGCUUGAAUCUCCGCACCCGACCCGCUUGUCGCCUGCACCCACUGCUUGCUUGCCGUUCCCAUUGUUCGUUGACCAGAACUCGCGCUUGGUUUACGCGUUCUGGAGAAAACCAUUGGAAAAAAGGAAGCAGAAUAAAAAGUAAGAAAAAGAAAAAAAAAGUGAUGUUUGAGGAAAAGGAAAAAAGAAAAAAAAGAAAAAGAAAUGCAAAAGUAUUAGAAGUUGGGCUUGCCGUUGGUCUUGUUGAUUGUUUUGGAGAAUGACUAUGGUCGUCUGCUAUUGUACCCACAACGAUUGUUCGAGUGCUUGGAUUGUUGAUUACUCGAGUGAUUAUUGUUGAGGUUUUCGUCUGCUUGUUUGUUGCCGUUGGGCUAUUGGAAUCUCGUCCGUUUAGUGACAAGGUCCAUGCUCAAACGAAAUAUGUCUGCCCUCUGCCAUGUGAAUCUAUAUCCACCUGCCUGUCUGUCUGUCCGCGUUGCGGAGCCUGCCUGCCUGUCUGUCUGUCCGCGUUGCGGAGCCUGCCUGUCUGUCCGCGUUGCGGAGCCUGUCUGCCUGUCUGCCUGUCUGUCUGUCCCCCUAACGGAGCCAGUCCACAUCUGCUUGUUUGCAAACCCAUGUCGUAUACCGCCAUGAGUUUGACUGGGGGUGUUGGAAAAUAUUAGGCACACUCAAUUCAUUCUUGCUCAUAGAAUUAAAGACAAACCAAAUCGGAAACCGAAAUAAGCAACAGUGCUAACUAGCUUGCUCAGCUCUCAGGCCUUUAUUCUUGAAGAUAGUUAUAUUACUCAAUGUUCCAUAUCGUAUGUAUGCAUAAAUCUUGUGCUUGGCGCUUAUUCCUUGAUAAGAUGUGCAUCAACAUCUUUAAUGACAUUGAAUAGAAAGCUGAGGUACUUCUGUGGAGGCGGAUCGUUCUCGUUGAGUUUUUUAUAUUCUAAAGUAAUUUUCACAGAACCUCCUUCACUAUUUGGAGUGACCUGGAAAAUGAUCUUGUAGCUUUUGUAAUUGUCCAGCACAUGUGAUCCUUCCAAACCUGUAAGACUCACCCGCUUGUUUGCUUCAUCUAUUUCCACCUUUUCCUUGUAAGUCUCGACAUUUCCAUCUACACGUCACAUGGAAGAGUACAAUUAUACAGCUAUCCAUGAUCCGAUCCUUUAAAUAUUCAUCGUGUGGUAAUGUAAACCCUAUGGUGCAUGGAGGUCUUGUCAGUUUUAAUUCUAAAAGUACAUACAUAUGAGGUAACGCAAACCCCUAGCUUGCUAGGUUUCAAGUUAGCAUGCCUAAUUAUUUUGCAGCAGGUUAGUCUGUGGUAUUAAAAAAAAAUUGUUAGUCAUAAGUAUAACCUUAACAAUGUUUGGUUGUAAUUUGCUUGCUCCUUCAUGCAAUCUCACAGUCUCACUACCAGCUCCACAAGUUUGCGGAGUAAGCUGCUUCAUUCACCCCAAAAGGGGUUCAUUUCACUAUCUUUUACACAGCGGAGGCUGUAUAAAGCUACGACAGAACAAAAUUCGGCACCCGGGAGAGGGACGAUCUCCAGAGAUUCUUUUACAUUUUUUGUAUUUCUUUUUUUGUUGAAUCAUUUCUUGUAAUUUAAACAUUUAGCGUCAUCUUGUAAUUUAAAUAUUACCUAUGGUGUAUUUCCAGAGUUUGACAGAGCCAGAAGUUUCCCAGUCACCUUCAUGUACUGCAACAUCGUGUAUUUUAUCAGAGGCUGCUAUGGGGAAGUCAUAGUGCUGGUUGCUGAUGAAUUUGUACAGCUUAUCAGCGUUGGCUUUGAUCUCUACCUCAGCCUCCAUAGUCUCCAGCUUGCAAGUACCAGCUCCACUCACAGCCAUUUUAUUUUAUUUGUUCUUUAUAAUAUGUGAAUAACGAUAGUGUAAGUCUGGGGAAUUGUAGGAGACGUAUACAAACCUAUAGGUUUCCACUUCUUAUAUAAAGCCAUGUUAUAGUUACGGAGGCAGUAUGUGGAUAUUAUCCGAUCACUUAAACAGUUAAAUGAUAACAAUGUGACAGUGGAUCUUUCACGUAAAAUUUUAUCACCACUACACCUACCAGAAUAAAACUUUUUUCUUUUUUCUUUUUUCUUUUUUUUUUAAUUAAAAGAAGAAAUGUCAAUUUCAUUCCGCAUUAUUAUCAUGGAACAAGACAUUAUUUUGAAUACAUUGAAGAAGAAAAAAAUAUAUAGAUAAUAAGUUAGAGGGGACAUGAAGCCUAGCCCUAACAAGAAGUAGAAAACUAUUUGAAACAACAAUCAAUUAAGACAACUCCUAAGAGAAACAAGAAUUUGGAAACACCGAAAGAUUAUGAGCAAAAGUCAUAACUGCACAUGACGGAUAAGAAUCACACAAAUAAUGAAAACUAACAUGAUCAACAUAAUAGUUUGCUAAACAAUUUGUUACAUGAUUUCCUUCCCGAUUAACGUGAGAAAACUGAACAUGCAUGGAAGAGAGAAUGGUAUAGUAAUUUGUCAAAUCAACCGAUAAACUAUGGUGCAUUGCCAAACAAGAAUUACACUCAUUUCAAAGAGAAUGCUGCCAAAACCUUUCGAAAGCAAUAAAAAUAACAUGAAUAAUAGCUUUAAGUUUCACUUCCAAAGCAGUAACAAUGCCAAAAAAAUCUUGUAUUAAAGCAUCAAAGAGACCCAAGUGAUCACGAAAAAUACCACAAAAACCAGCAAACUUGAUGAUAGAUUUCAACACGUAUAUGUACAAGAGGAUCAAUGAUUGAUCAACUUUACCUCCAUAGCAUUAUUGGAGUGAAUGAUUGUACGAUAUUGAGGCGUUUGUUUGGAUUUGGCACGAGGAAAUGUGUGUAUAUAUUGUAUAUAUAGUGAUAAAAUUAAGGGUUCUUUAGAGCUAAUAGAAAUCAAUGGUUUAUAUUAUCUUGACAUACUUGUAACCUAGAGAGAGAGAAAAAAAAGAGGUUGUAUUGUCAUCAAAAUAAAAUUAUGACACAAACAAAUAAUGUGGAGUUCAUGUUACUUAUUUGGAAUCAAUCAAAGCUGAAUCAUUGAUGCCUAAUUUCAGAAAGUUUUUCUUUUCUGGAUGCAGCAUCUUUUCACAGGAUUUUUUUCGGUUGUGGUAUUGUGAAGGAACUUCUUGGAUAGUUUUUUUUCCCUUUUACACUAGCUUAGGGCUGGUUUGGUAUUGCUGUGCUUUGAAAAAAAGCUGCUGUGAGAAUAAGCGGCUGUGCUGUGAGAAUAAGCGGCUGUGAAAUAAAUCAGCUGAGUGUUUGGUAAACUUUUUUGUAAAAGUGCUUUUGGAAAAAAAAGCAGUCUGAUAGUGGAUCUUUUCAUUAAAGAAGCACUGUACCUCCGUGUGCUUUGAAAAAAAACCAGUUUUCCAAAGCUACAAAUAGCAGCUUCAGCUUUUUCUUUUGAUUUCAGCUUAUUCUCACAGCAGCUUCUAAAAUAAGCCUUUUUUUUCAGUUUACCAAACACCUAAAACCCUCACAGCUUUUUUUCAUGGGUGCUUUUUUUUUAAGCACCUCACUCCCAAACUAGGUCUUAGUGUCUUCCUGCCAAAAUAAUGACACAGAAAUUUUCAUCAAAAGGGUUGGCGAUGUCGGGCAGCAAAUGUAGUUUCCCGUGAAAUUGCAAAAUUUGCUCACAAUCUGAUGAUUUCGUCUCUUGGGUUGGCUCUCCCUUCUCCUAACUGCUGAAGACUGAUGAAGCAGAAAUUUAAUCAUCAAUGAAUUUCCUUGACUAAUCCAUUAUCUUUCCGUUGCCCGUUCACUUUGAUUUGUUCAUAAUCCGAUUAUUGUUCAUUCCAAUUCCAAGCGCGUAAACGUGCCCUCAUAGUUAUGGACUUGUCCGCAUCGUUUAAUUUUCCUUGAAUACCUGACUUCGUCGCCUAUGGUUUCACAAGAAAAUAAUCUCUUUGUUAAACCAGAAAAUUUAACGGUUCAUUAAUUAGCAACUAUUUCAUUUUUUAACAAUAUUUGGCUACUCAAAGGAUGAGUAAGAGUUCCUACUCAAACCUAUUUGUUGCCAAUUCAUAGAACUUCAUGUUUAUAAUAGAGCAGUUCAUAUUAGAAAUCACUUUAUAAAAAUUGUCUCUACAAAAAAUCAAUUAGACUAAGGUCGUUUAGUAGUUGAACUGUGAAAAAACAAAGGAAAGAAAUUGGUGAAAAAAUUAAAAACCAUUUAUGUAUUUACUAGAAUAAAUUGACUAAAUGACCUUAAUUUUAAUUCAAUUUUUGCAGAAAUGAUCUCCACAGUGUGAUUCAUAAUAUGAACAGUUCUGUUCAUAAGCACAAACUUCAGUGAUUCGAACAUGAAAAAUUUUGAGUGGGAGUUCUUACUCAUUUUUGAGUAGCCAAGCAUUGUUCUUCAUUUUUUUUUUUUGUGUCAGUAAUAAUCUGACAGAGAACAAUAAUAAGUAAACUGUGAAAAGAAAAAUAUUGUACAAACGAAAAAACAAACAAAAUGAAAAAGAAAACAAAUUAAUAUUUUAAGUUGUUUUCACUUUGAAAAUUUUGUUUUAUUCAUUCCCACUUUAUCUAAUUCUUAGCCUUCAUGUAUUGAAUUAUGCAUUGUAUUGUAGAAUCCAAAAAAAAAAAAAAAAACUUUUUUGGAUUCCAUGUGUAUAAGCAUGAAAUUAUAGCCCACCCAUAUGAAAAUUUUGACUCCGCGGUUGCAUGUAAGGAUAAACAUGCCAAUAGAUUAAACUUAUUCACACUAUAACAUAAAAAUGCUAUUACGCUCAAUUAUAGAAGUUGCUCAAAAGACUAAAGACAGUCCAAGUCGGAACUAAACAACAAGGCUAUAGCUUGCUCUUCUUCCAGCCUUUAUUCUUGAAGAUAUAAGAUUAUAGAUUAUCUCCCCUCCUAAUCUCUCUUUCCAUCCCUCCUCUCAUAUUUAAAUGGUUACCGCGUCAACAUCUUGUUUUAAAUUUAUUAUAUAGACAAAAAGACAAAAAAGAAAAGUGUAAGAGGAGGAGAGAGAAUGAAAUGGUACUAGAAGGUAGAGAAUCCUACUCCAAGUGUUCGCUAGGGGCGAGGGGGACCCUGAGAGCAAAAGACUCUUCGUCUUCAGGUUUGAGAGUAAACCCUUUACAUCCUACACCAUGCUAAUAAUAUCCACCAAUUCUCUAUUUUAUUUAUAAAAAAAUAAAUUAAAAAUAAAUUAAAAAAAAUAAAAAAAAACAUAUGAGGGUGAAUAGUACCAUGAUUGAUAUUUUAGUGUAAAUAUAUGAUUUUUCCUUAAAGUGAACAGUACCGAAAGUUUUUCGUUAAAAUUCUAUUUUCUUUAAUUAGUAAUUAAUAUUAAAGUUCGUCUAAGAUUAUUUUUUAAAGGAGAUAUAUAUUAAAAGUAUCAAAUAGAAAAAACAAGACAACAUCAUUCAAAAAAAAGAAAACUAAUGAAAAUAGCUUGAAAACUUUGAGUUUUAACGAUAAGGAUAAAGGGUAAAGUGAAUAGUACUAGGUUUGACUUUUUAGUGUAAAAAUAUGGUUUUUCGUUAAAAUGAACAAUAUCGCGGGCUUUUCGUUAAAACUCUCUUCAAAAAAGGGAAAGGGAUCAUUUUCGGAUCUGUUCUACCUAAUCCUCCUCAUCAAAUAAUCCGAGCUUUUGAAAUUUGAUCUAACAGUUAAAGUUAUUAUAACUUUUAGAAUUAGUCCGUAUUUUUAACAGUUUAAUCAAAUUUUAAAGAUCUAAAUUAUUUGAUAAUGAGAAUUAGAUGAAAAUGAUCAAAUGAUCCCUUUUCCAAAAACAGGAAAAAGAAAAACAAGACAGCAAGUUUCUUUUAACCAAGGUAUUAAAUAUCGGUAAUAUCGGAAAUAUCGGUAGUCUGAAAACACGGAAAUAUCGAUGGAAAUAUCGGUAAAAUAUCGAUAUCGAUAUCGAUAAAAAUUACAUGGAAACCACGGAAAUUGUAAGAAAAACUUAGAAAUUUUAAUUGAAACUUUGCAAGAUGUUUAUUUAGUCAAUUAUCUAUUAGUUUAUCACAAAAAAUUGGAAGGAAAUGCAUUGCAUGAUGGAUUUAACUGAUUUAAAUUGAUUAUAUAGCGAGCUGGCAAACAUUGUGAGUGUAAAAAAUAUAUAGUAAUUAAUGAAAAAAGUUUAAAGACACCACAAUUAUUAUAUAUAAUGAAUUAGUACAAUAUUUUACACUUUAUAUAUUGCAUUUUUUUUUCUCUCAGAUAACACACACAGACUGACACAUAGCCCGGAUAUUUUGAAAGCAGGUUUGGAUUUUUUUUUUCUUCUCUCGGAUAACACACACACACCCCACUUCUACACACACACACUUCAAAGUGCACCCCACUUCUACACACACACGCACAGACACACUGUAACAACCCAACCCCAAAUUUUUAUAUAUUUUCGUGGUUCCCCAAAUAAUUAUGAAAUUAUCGUUUUAGUCCCCUAUCUUAACCAAAUCUGGACCAUUCAUCUUGAUUUCCAAAUUCUCUCAAGCUACCACAUGGCAGCACCCUAGCACCCUCACGUAUCUCUCUCUCUCCCCACCCCGUGACCUCUUUCUCCUUCUUUCUUCUCUCUGCACUCACUCUCCCUCUCUCGAAGACCCUCACUCUUUCACCCUUUGACCCACACCCGAGAGCACCCACGCACACCCUUCGUGGUACUCCGUCGACGGCAUCGGCAUCGUCAUCACCUUCUACACGCCGUCGUCUCUCUCUCUCUCUUUCUCUCUCUCCCGUCACUGCGCAACUCGACGAAACCCCAAGAACCUCCGGCGAGUUCUUCAUGGGUUAUGGUUAGGUAAGCCUCGAACCUCUCUUUCCGUGUUGGUUUGUUGCUUGGAUGUGAUUAUUGAGGUUAUUCUGUCCUUUUUACCAAGGAUUUAGCACGGAAUCAGCCCGGGAAUAGGCGCACCCAUCUCCGGCGAGACCGUGGGUAUCGAGAGGUUUUCCGACCACCACGGGUCGUUUCACGGCAAAUGGAAGGUAUAAACGCACUCCUCUCGUCUCGUGCUUUUAUUUGAUACCUAGAUCGGGGUCUAGAACCCUUGUUUGUGGUCGACCGGAGCUGUAGAAGCUCCGGCGUUCUUCUCCGAGUAGCACGGUUAAAAAAAUAUCGCGAUAUUAUCGAUAUUAUCGAUAAUAUCGCGAUAUUUUGCCGAAAACCAUUUGGAUACCUAUUUAAAUAUCCAUUACCUGAAAAACCGAUAAUAUCGGCGAUAUUUCGCCGAUAUUAUCGAUAUUUUCUUCCAUGCUUUUAACAGAUGAAUUUUAUUAGAGGUGGAAUUGGGGUCCAACAUCCCAGGUGUUUUCUGAUAGCAUAACCCAAUAACGUCAAAUCCAUUAAUUUGAUUAUUUAAUAAAUGGCUCCCACAAUAGGAUUUGGAUCCUCUAUGAGACAAUUGGUCGGGAUCUUCCUGACCAGUAUUUGUGGGCCGUUGGAUUUUUAUCUAACGGUUAUAAAUAGGGGGACCCUCUAAAUUUAUAAUAAUUAUAGUCGUUGGAUAAAAAUUCAACGGUCCACAUACAUCGAUCAGGAGGAUCCUGACCAAUUACCUCAGAGAGGAUCCAAAUCCCCCACAAUACACCAAUCACGUACCCCUCCCAACCAAUUUACACAAUUUUUGUAACAGUAGGUCCCACAAUAUAUAAUAAAAAGGAAAUUUGACUCAUCAUUUGAAAAAAUAAAAAAAAAUUUAACAUUUAACUUCAAAUACUCAUUUUAGUCAUUAAAUAAAAUUUAACAAUUUAUAAAUGAGUAAUGUUAGAGAAGCUAAUUUUUUAGACUAAAUUUUAUAAAUUAUAUGUAUUUGUUAACGAUUAAAUUAUUAUUUAAGUGUUGCUUAAUGUUUAUAUAGAGCCACAACCCACAAAGUCCUACACAAAUAGCAUGUUUUAGUUAUGGAGGCAGUUGUGGUGGAUAUGAUCUGAUCACUUGAAGAAAAUGACGAGUCUGCGGAUCUUUGUGGAUCUUCAUCUUUCACAUGGGAGGUUUUAUGACUACACCUACCAAAUUUAAUCACAACAGCGAACUUGAUAAUGAGACAUCAAUAAUUCAACGAUUCAGAAAACUUCAAUUAAAUUGGGACCCAUAAAUAAAUAUGUGGAAUUCCUAAUACUUCUUUUGUAAUCGAUCAAAGCUAGAUCAUUGAUGCCUAAUUCAGAAAGAGGAGUGUUAUUGGCACUUUAAAAGUCUCAUUGUACACUCUUCACAAGUGUAUUUUUCUUUCUUAAUAUAGAAAGUUUGGAGUGUAGAAUAAGAUUUUUGGAAUGCUACUAACAAUUCCCUUCAAAAAAAGGUUUUUCUGUUUUGCAUGCAACAUCUGGACACAUGAAUAUUCUUUGGCAUUCUAAUUGCGCACACGUAUUAUCUUUCAAAUAUAGAAAAUUUGAAGUGCAAUUAAAUUUUUAGAAUGUAAAUAAAAGGGGAAACUUGAUAUAACUCCAAUUUUUUGAGCCAAUAGUAAGAAUAGUCCAAUUUAUUAAAAUAAAUCCAAUUCUUUAAAUUUAAUUAUUUAAUUAUCAAUAAUUAUCUCUUAAAAGAAAAAACUUAUUGUAAAAAUCAAAUUUCUUCCUAAUUAUCUCUUUGAUUAUUAUUAUUAUUUUUUUUUAUUUCUUGUUCUUCUUCCUGCUUUAACCCAUUUAUAGAUUUUUUUUAAUUUUUAUAAUCAACCUAUAUCAUAGGUUAAUUGUAUUUAUCUACCUAUAUGACAGAUUCUUUUUCAUAGUUAACAUGUCACAUAUUAAUGUGUCUUGCUUGUAGGUAUAUUAUAUUUUUUUUCUACCUUUUAGUUAGGUUUCAUAUCUCACUUAUAGGUAUAAUAUACAUUCAUAUAUUUGCUACUUGAUUUAGGGUAGAAUGUUUUGCAGAUAGAUUUAUGUUAGUAUAUUAAUUUUUUUUGUUUAUAAGAUAUUAAUUAGAUAUUUUGGAGUUGAAAAAUGCAUAAUAUUAAAAGAUUUUAAUUGAUUUUUAAUAUUUUUAGAAAAUAUAAAAGGAGUAUAAAAGAAAUAAAAACAUAUAAUUAAAUAACCGGAGUCACUCCUAAAAACACUCUAUGUUUUUGGACCUGGAUCUAAAAGCCCCUAAAUAAAAUUACCUUCUUUUAUUGGUUUUUUUAAGGCUCGCAAAAAUGGUUGUCUUUGUUGUUUGGCGAAGGAACUUCUUGGAUAUCAUCAUAUUGUGGUCUUCUUUUUCGCUUGUAUUGCUAAAAAAUAACUAAUUACAAAUCGAUUUUCAUCAAAAGGGUUGUUAAAUAAGAUAUUAAUUAAUGCUAUAUUUUUUUUCUUGAUACUGUUUGGGUCUCUCAACCUCGAUUUAUUAUUUUGCAUUUUAUUUCUUCCAUGAUCAUAUGUAUCUCCAUUGUUUAACAACAACUAAAAAUACUAUUGUUUCUUUAAAAAAAAGUACUAUGUAUUUGAUUAAGGCGAUUUUAUAUGACGAUGAGCAACAAAGUGGAGACGGUGCACUACACCUUUUAUUUUGCAUACCAUAGUUCAUACAUUACAAUCUCACAUAUGAUAUCCCUUCACGUACAUUUGUUACAAGGCAACUUACAAAGCAAAGCAUUUUAAUUACUUGUAAUCAAGCAAAAGGCACGCAUUAUUAACACAAAUAUUAUAUACUAACGAUGGACGUCACACUGUUUCACCAUUGCAUUCUUUUCCUUUCCUUAAUUUAUCAUGCCUUGAUAAAGUGAGCAUCAAGAUCCUUGACGAUGUUAACCAUCAAACCGACGUAUUUGUCCGGACUGCAACAUCCUCAGUCAGUUUCUCAUAUUCAGUCGACAAUUUUGCAAUGUUGCCUUCAUUCUUUUGAGUGAAUUGAUAGACCGGCUUGAAGCUCUUGUAAUACUGGAAGACAUCUCCUUCCAGUCCAUUCAGUGUUAUGGAUUUGUUCUCGUUGUUUGACUACACUUUUUCCUUGAAUACUCGAACUUCGUCCCCUAUGUAUUCACAAGAAAGUGGUCUCUAUAUUGACCAAGGAACAAUAAAGGGAGCGUUUGAUAAAUAAUUUGUUUUAAGUUUUCACAAAAAUGAAAAUUGAAGUUAUUUUUGUCAGUUUUCUAAAUUUAUAUUAGUAAUUUUUAUUUUUUGAAGACUGAAAUAACAUGAGAUUGUUGAAUUAUUGCGGCACACCUCGAUUCUUUACCAACAUAUUUUGUUCUAAUUAUCCAUUAUAUCAAUAUAUAGUUUUCACUUAUGGGUUAGUUGUUCGCUUGUGAAUCAGGGUUUAGUUAUUGCGAUCCUUCUAAUAUUGCUGGAUUAUGAUUAACAUAUAAUUGUGUUCUGAUCUUAGAGAAAAAGGUACAUAUCAUGUUAAAUACAUGAAGGUAUUUAUAUGAGACGAAGAGAAUGGUACCUUUUUAGACAGCUAAAUCGCCGUGGUUUGGCCGUAAAACGGCUUGAAAGUGGCUAACUCGAGACCAAGACAGCCACUUUCGAGCUGUUUUCCGGCCAAACCACGGCGAUUUAGCAAUUAAAAAAGGUACCAUUCUCUUUGUCUUGUCAAGAAGUAUGAUUUUCAUUUUUGAAUCACUUGAUUUCUGAGUAUUGAAGAAGUUAUGAACGUUUUGAAGUUUGCCCAGUUUCCGGUGAGUUUUCAAGUUUCACUUUGACCAAUCAACUUUGAGGCUAUUUUCCGGCAAUCUUCGGCAACCAUUGGGCUUCUAAAUAGCUGUAAUCUUAUUCUACACUUUCCUAUCUUCAUUUUGAUAUAUUAUGGGUCAAAUUUGGUUAAGAAACGAUUGAGUUACGAAACUUUGAAAAUUGCCCAAACUUCCGACCAAGAGCUCCGGAACACUUAACGGAGUUUUUAACGGAAUGACCAAAAUGAUGGAUGGUGGCCAAUCGCAGGGACCACUUUUAUCGAUUUGGAAUCUCAGGGACCAAAGUGAUGAGUUAUGCAAAUCUCAAGGACCAUUUUGGCGAUAAAAUUAUGAAAUUUGGUACAAUCUUCUUGACAGACUCACGAACCCGCUCCAAUUGGAAUCACUAAAAAAUUCUACCGUUUGAUUACUUUAUGCUUAAAACAAGUUCACAUGUCCUACAAUAAAAACAUAGAGCAAAGCAUCAAAAUGUCACUAAAAUAAUAACCAAAAUAUACCAAGAAUAGGGAAUAAUAUAUAGUAUAAAAUCGACUCAUCAUGACCUUGCAUGAACUUAUAAGUAAGUUGGGCUACUUUUCAUAUUGCCAAUUGGUUUUAUGGUGUCACCUUAACUUUCUUCAUACCCAUGUGUGAAGCCAAAAGACUACGUGCGCUCCAUGUCACCCAUUUGUGUUGCCCACCUGUUAGGCUUAAAAAAUUUCCACACAUGAGGAGGCGUAUUAAGAAUGAAUCUCACAUUAAUGGGAGGAGAAAUUUUGCAUGGACUUAUAAGUAAGUUGAAAAAAAAUAUUGGACAAAUAUUGUAGAGUACACCACAUUUUAUUUUAUAGAUGCGAUCGACAACCAUAAUCUAUUACAUCACAAUGUCAUAUAUGACAUCCUUCGUACAUCUUUUACAAUACACACAAACCUAAUUAAGAAAAGCAUUUUAUUUAAGUAGGUACGCAUUGAUGAACAUAUGCAUGCAUGAUUACAUAUAAUUGAACCCUUUUUAACAAGACCAGCAAAAGCUCUUUCCAACCGUUGCAUAUGACGUAUGGUUUUUAUUCAUUAAUUAAUUAAUUUAUGCUCCCAGAAGGUGAGCGUCAAGAUCCUGGACGAGUUUAACCAUCAAACCGACAUAUCUAUCUGGAGCUUCAACAUUCUCAUUCAGUUUCUCGUAUUCGAUCCACAGGUUGGCAAUGCAGGUGCCUUCAUCUUUUUGAGUGAAUUUAUAGACACCCUUGAAGCUCUUAUAAUACUUGAACACUUCUCCUUCCAAUCCUUUCAGAGUUGCAGCCUUGUUCUCAUCGUCUAGCUCCACCUGUUCCUUGAAUAUCCCGACAUGAUCCCCUAUAUAUAUGCAUGCAUGCAUUCAUGGUUAAUUUCAUAACAACAAAAUAUAUAAACUUUCUCACCCUCUCUUAUUAGGAUCUUGUUUCCACCGUAGGAAAAAGGGGGCAAUAUGACUUAUUUACGAAACAUGUAUUUACUGUAUAUGACUCUCAUUGUCUAGAACAAAAAUUGAAGGAAGCAUUGAAAUAUAUAUAAGAGGUCAUAUAUGGUAAAUACAUGAUUUCUACGAUUGUUCUAUCUCGACCUUGUUUUUGCUACAACAAAUCAGAAUUUCUGCGAAAAAGCUGUAAACAUUGAAACUCAUGCUAUGAACGUAUGAUGAUUUGAGCACAUCUGUUAAGGUAUACAUACAUAUAAAGUGAAUAAUUAAACAGGAAAAUUGAAUUAAGUAGCGGUACCUAGUUCAUAUUUCCAAAUCUUAACAGAGCCGUGUGUUUCCCAAUCUCCUUCAUGCACAUCAACUCCUUUGAUAUGGGUAUUAGAGAUGUUUGGGAUGAGGUGGGCGCUCUUGAACAUGUUGUACAACUUGUCAGCUGGUGCCUUAAUUUCUAUUUCAGUCCCAAUUUUACCAUGCAAAACCAUGUUUAUGAGCAGUUUUGAUGGGUGCUACUCAGAAAUUAUAAGAGAAGAAUGUUAAAGGAUAUGUAUAAUUUGGGCUCCUACCCUCCUUAAAUAGAAGCGACUAGAGUUAAAUUGCGAGAUAAAACUUAAUGUGUCCGGAACACGAUACAGUACGCCAUAUAUAUAAUAUAUGUAAUAUAAAUGGAGGGAAAGUUUUUUUAUUUUAUUUUAUUUUUUUCAAGUGUUUCUCUACUUGUGUAUGACAUACGACGUAUGUACCCGUGUUCUGGAUAUUAAAAAUUCUCUCAUAAUAUUUUAAUAGUGGGUAAUCCAAUUUAAAAACCAAAUCAUGCAACACGUGAUAAGGAUUAAGUCAUAUAUUUUUUAAAUCAUACUUCUCGGAUAAUUGGAAUCCUAUGAAGUAAUGAUCACAAGUUCACAAUAUGCAUGGAUAGAUGAAGGGUUUGCUCAUGAGUAAUGUUAGGGAAACCAAAUUUCUAAAUCAAAAUUUGUAAACAAAAUAAUGUAGAGGUAGAUGAUUGAAUUAUUAUUUAAGCGUUGAUUAAUAUGCUUAUUUCUUAUUAAUAACAUAUCAUUUGAUUUGUAUUCACGCAUGCGAUAAAGAUUAGAUUAGUACGAUCACACUAAAAAUUUAUUUGUAAAUGUUUUAAAAUAAAAUGUAAUUUAUCUGCAAAAUGUUUUUUUAAGGUACGAUAUUCUUUAAUAACAAAUUUAUACGUACAUCAAUGAGGAUAGGGUGUAAACAAAGGGCCUCGAUAAAAACCUUGCCGGGGUUUUCAACCCGUUCGAAGAGAGAUUUUUCAAUGUGACCGUCACACAAGGAGGUACACCACGUGUCUCUAUGUAAAUGGUUAUAUAUGUGUGUUAAAAGAUUAAUAACUUAAAAAUUAAAAUUUUCCACCACUUACAUAAAAACACGUGAUAUACCAUCCGUGUUCCCGUCACAACUAAAAAUUUUCCCUAGUCGAAUGGUAAAAGAGUGUCCCACACCAACAUAAUUAAUUAGGAAUUGCUAUCCUCAAAGAGAAGAUCAAGAAUUACAUUAGGAAGUUCCUCAAACCAAACCACAGUGUUACCAUAACUCAAGCUCAUAUGUGCUAGCCUGCGUGCCACCUUGUUCGUCUCCCUUCGACUAAAUUCAAUCUUCCACUUGAACAAUGAAUGAAUAAUUGCGUGUGUCGUUUAGAAUGUUUCCAAAAUGUGACAUGUCAACACUUCCUUCUGCAAAAUGUUUUAGAAUAAAAAGUUUUAUCUCUAUUUAUUUAUUAUCAUUAUUAUAUUUCUGGAAAGAUCGAUACGUAUGGGCCAUGGCGUCUGGUUUUUUUGUCAUGGCGUCUGGUUUUUUUGUUAAAAAGCCAUCAAAUGGGGAGGCAGCGAUGAGGUAUUAGGUAUCCACAAAUGUCAGUUCACAAAAUAUUAUACUAAAAGUAAUUGAAAAGAAUCAAACAAAUCAAACAAAUAUUAAUUCUUUGCCCAAAAUAAUCCACUAAAAAAAGGGUCCACAGCAUAGUUUUUUCCACUAGAGUUUAUCGAUCCUUGAAGACUAUCAUUGAUGAUUGAUCAUCCAACAGGUGCAUUAUUUAUUUUUUAACAAACGCUAAUAGUUACACUAAGGGAAUGGAGGAGUGUGUUAAGUCUUACAAUAGGCUUGGCAAAAUAAUGUGAUUCAUUUUCGUUUAUGGCGAGAAUCAAAUCUAAGAUCUCUUACAUAUAAGUGAAGAGGGAUAGCACUAGACUGUAAUACUAAAUGGCCACAUACAGUAUUUAUAGAUAACAAUAAUAACAAGAAAUACUUUUUUUUUUUCAUGCUGGACCAUUUUUUCUAAGGUGAUGCUAGAAAUACCUUCUUUUUAAACUACAAUUGUAAAUCACGUGAUGUGGCGGUUAAUGGUCAGAUUUUUUUUUUACUCAUUAAAAAUGUAAUCCAACUAUCAACAGCCACAUCAUUUGAUUUACAAAAUUUGGUCUAAAAAGAUGGUCUCCCUAGCAUUUUGCUUCUCUGUAUAACUUUUAGUCAUGACUCUAUACCGACUUUCAUUUCUAGAUUUUAAAAUUACGCCACGCUACUCGUUAGGUCCGAUUUCAAAAAAUCGAAAACAGAAAGAAAAAAAAUUGAACCAUUCACCAAACCAAAACAGCAAGAACAAAAAAUUAAAAUUGAAUAAGCAGAAUCGAACCAAAAUUUUGGUUCGAUUCGAUUUCGGUUUUAGUAGUUCAAAAACCGAACUGCACUGAAAUACCUUGUAACCAUAACAAGUGCAUUUGUUACACUUGACUAUCUCGGACUGGAUUAAGCUCAGGGACUAAGUUAGACUGGCUUAGACUAGACUAAACUGAAUUAAUUUAGUUAAGUGUUUGUUCCAAUGCCGGACUAACAAGCAAAAUAAUAUUUUUCUUUUUUUUUCUUUUUCUUUUUCUUUUACCAUUUUCUACAACACAUUCUCUUUUGAGAAAGUUCUCCCUUUUCUCCAUUUUUUUUCUUGAAAUGUUAUCCUCACAACCCAGAAUCAACGUCUGCUCGAUUGGGUUCUUCUGAUAAUCCCUAAGUGGAGCCUCUGCAACCACAGCUUCAUCUCAAUCUUUUGCACAUCUUCACAAAUUCGCUCAAAUCACAAAAUCCAAAUUCGCGGGAAUUGCAAAAACCCAUAUUCAAUUCCAAUUCGCUUGAAUCACAAAACCCAACUUCGUUGGAAGUGCAAAUCACAUAUUUGAAUCAUGAAACCCAAACUUGAAAUGCAAACCCCAAACUCAAAUUGCAAAUCCAAAAUUCCGUUCGAAGCUUUGCAACAUUUGCAUAAAUCAGUUUCCACCCACAAAAUCGAGUAAAGUAAAUGAUUGAGAGCGCAUGAGGAGGAAGCGGGCCUUCCAGAAGACGUGACUUAUUUUUGUGUUCUUUGAGAUUCGAAAUGAACAGACGAAGAAAUCCUGGUUUCGCGAGUGUAGGCAACGGCAAAGCAAGCAAACGAAGCAAGCAGGGAGAGGAGAGAGGAUGCGAUGCAGAGAGAGAACAGGACGGAGCAAGGUCUUAGCAAUCCCAUGGUUUUCCCGGGGAUUGGCCAAGACCUAGUGAAGGAGAUAAGCCGUGCGAGUCCUAUUUAAUCCCACUUAACUUAGUCUGUAACUUAGUCCGUGAACGCAACAAACACGGGAGUACCCUAAUGUUUAAUCCUAUCUAGUCCAGUGAUAGUUAACGAGUCCAAACAAACGCACCCUAAGUGUAUUCCUCCUCUCCUCCUCGUCCUCAUCGCUUUAGUUCAAUCCUCUCCUAACUUAAGUCAUGUUCCUCUGCGCCUCUGACGCUCCACGUCCUCAAUCUUCAAUCCUUUCUCGACGUCUUCAGGUCAUCUCCAACCGAAGGGUCCAGAAGGCCAAAGGGCCUAAAAUAGCCCGAAAACCGUCUCCAACUGAGGGCUAGGCCAUAGGGCUCUAGAAUCUGGGAGGGCCCCACGGAAUCGGAGAGGGCUUAAGGGCUGGCCUUUUUUUUUUUAAUGUUUUGUUAUUUCUAUCGGUUAUAACCGACAGAAAUAAUAUAUAUUAUAUUAUUAAUGUCGGUUAUAACCGACACUAAUAGCAAUGUUAAUAUAAUAUCAGUUUGAACAGUGUCGGUUAAAAUCGACACUAAUUUGAAUUCCAACGGCUAGCCAGUCACUAGCCGUUGUAUUCAAAUUUUUUUUUUCUUUUUAUGAAUUUAAACCUUUUUUUUUCUAUAACUUCCUAUAACUUUUUUUCUAUAACUUAUAUUUUACAAAAUUUGGUUCAUAUUUUUUCGUAUAACUUCUAUUUCACAAAAUUUGUUUCAUAUUUUUUUUUAAAUUCUAUUUUUUUCUAUAACUUCCUAAGCCAUUAUACAACAUUAAAUUAAAUUAAGUAACAUAAAACAACAUUAAACAAUAUGAAACAACAUUAAAUAACAUUAACCAACAUAAAAAUUAUACAACAUGAAACUUAAACAACAUUUUUAAAAACAUUUAGCCGUUGGAUUUGAAUUUAAGUUGUAGUUUUUAAAUAAUAAAUUAUGUUUGGCGUGAUGGCUCUUUGGCCCUCGGUUGGAGACGGUUUUUUGUGAUAGGACUAAAACGAGCCAUCUAGCCCUCGGUUGGAGACGGAGACAAAUAUAAUCAUGUACUGUUCAUUAAAAUAUUAAUAUCUUAGAGAAUCUUGAAGGGCCAAAGGGCUAAAACGAGCUAUCUGGCCAGCCAUCGGUUGGAGAUGGCCUCAUGUUUCAGAUAAUCAGAAUCACCUCGAUAGACAAAGAAAAAGAGGGACGUCGAGAUCCCUCCAUCGCAACUCCUUCACCGCUGCUCUUCCAUCACAGCUCCACCGAAACCUGUCACCCUUUAAUCUAACAGUGUUUGCUGUUGAAUAAUUUUUUUUUUUUUGACAAGUCAUAGGAUAAUCCAAAUUUACCGAAACUACGAAGAGGGAAAUAUUUUGAACACAAGACGCAGUGAGUUAAAUAGAAAGAUAAUAAAUUUCUAUAUUUGGAUCAUCAUGAAAUGAAUUAAGAACAAAGGAAAUUGGUCGUUAUAGGACAGUUACAAAUUUUUGUUGCUGAAAUAGUAAAAUCAACACGACCGACAUAAGGCUUGACACGUGAAAUGUCUCAAAUGGCCAUGUACGUAUAUUACCUAGAAGAACACGAUCGAUCAUAUUGAUUUUCCUAUUACUUUCAGCAAAAAGGUUUUGUAAUGUCCUACAACCACCAUUUUUGCCUAGUCCAUUGAAAAUGAAAAGAGAAGCAAAAACACAAUCCAAUAUCUAGAUGGUAUAUCAUACUUUUGAGAUUCGAAAUCCUAUUUGUAUGAUGUAAUCAGUAACUGUGCACAUCAGCCAUGCAUAAUUGAGAUCCAGUUAAGAUUUAUACAUUAAAUUAUAUACAGAAUCAUCUUUGUAAACAUGAGGUAUUGAUCACUUAUUUAGCAGAUCUAUCUUUUCUGGAACUAACUGUAACCGGAGAGGCAGAAAGGCGAUUAUGUUCAUCUGAAACCACCGGGUAAUCGAGUUUCUUACUAUUGUUUUCAUCUUUGUAAGACUUUGAAGGAGAUGCUGAUCCAAAUAUCUGCACUGUUAGGCUUCCACCCGCAGAGAGAAACAAGAAGUAAACAUGAAUAAUGCAUACCAAAAACAAACAAGUAUACAUCAACCUACAAGACGCUUGGGGAUAUGCUGAAGUGCAGGGGAAAGGAUAAUGCAUUGGUCCUUCAUGAUAUAACCAAAUGAGCUGGCUUAGUCGCGCAUACGUUGUACCUCGGAUUGGAUUAAAAUUAGGGAACUUUAAUGAAAAGCACCCGGUACUGUUCACUUUAACGAAAAACCACAUUUUUUCACUAAAAAGUCAAUCCUGAUACUAUUCACUUUACCCUUUAUUUUGUCCUUAUCAUUAAAACUCAAAGUUUUCAAGCCCCUUUCAUUAGUUUUCCUUUAAAAUUACCGUAAGUAGUAAGAAGCUCAAAGUUUUGUCCAAAGGGUUGAAAACUUAAAGUCUAAGACACAAGGGAAUAAUCAGGUUCCACAAGGAUGCCGCCCAUGAUCCCCAUGGGAAUUUAUAAAGAACUAUGAAGUAUGUCACAGUUUGAGUUUGAAUAUUGGUACUGAAGUUCGGUAAACUUCUACCCAAUAUAACGUCUAGUUGACAGUACGCUCAAUCCUAUAUAACCACUGUUUUUUCUACGGUAAAAGGUGGUUCGAACAUCUAGCAUGAAACUGGAUAAAUCUUUGCUGCUGAAAGUUUGUUAAAUUCAAAGCAUUGCGCUUAUUGAUGGUCUACUUGGUAGUUUACUAAUACUAGGUAAUGAUAAAUAAAAAUUGUGAGGUAGAGGUUUUUUUUUAUUCCCUCUAACCAGAGGUAAAGAGUACUUUACCUAGCACCAGAGCAGCGCCAACCCAACCAGUAGCACCCCACCUUUCCCCAAGGAGAAACCAUGCAAAAGCAGCACCCCAGACCGGCUCCAAACUAUAAAUUAUUGCUGUUUCUGUUGCUGAUACAUCACGCAUUGCGGCCAUCUGGAAAAAAUACUUUCCAUCAAAACUUUAAGCUAAAAAGAUGCGUUGCAAAUAAAACAAUAUUGGAGAGUUUUUUUUGUUUGGAAACAGCAUAAGUAGUAUACUCAACCAGAGGUCCUAUAAUUUACAAAUAUUAAUUUUUUAUACCGGCGAUAAGAUAAGCUUUAUAUCGGAGAUAUUUGUAUCCAUUGAAUCACUAGUAACUUAGAAUAGUAAAAGGUCGUACCCAGUGCACAAGGCUCCCGCUUUACGCAGGGUCUGGGAGAGGUGAAUGUCGGCUAGCCUUACCCACUCUCAGAUCAGCAUUUACACAUACCUCUACCCAUAAGCAUAGACCAGUCGAAAAUAUGCCCGAGUACAGUGCAGGUAUCCAUGGGAACACAACCAUCCAUUCCCAGAACAUACCGCACGUCCAUAACGAUGGGUUAAAAUCUUGGAGGCCACCCGACCCUACUCCAACACAGUACCAUAUUGUUGACAUGACAGUAACAACACAUACCUGAAUGGAAUCUUAGAACCUUAGAACUGUCCACACCACCAAUAAAGAUUAACAAGUAGCAUUAAUCACGAUACAAUUACCAUGGACAUAACAUAAGGACAACAUAUACUAACCUCAUAACAAACCAGGUACGAGCAGGAACUAUUGCUCAUGACAUACCAUCAAGCAAGGGAACUAUAACUACCUGUUAAAUUCAACAAGAAAAUGCCAAACAUUGUAUCUUCAGGUACUCCCAGAAAGCAAGAAAUUUGCCUUCCCAUAAAUGCAUAGAAGGUUAAUAAAGGUACUUACAGUGAACAUGGACUGAAACGAUGCACGACCAGCAUCUGAAGUUUGCAAUCCCAGUGCCUGCAUGAGAUACCCUAGACUGACCCAGGGACCCAACUCAAUCCCUGCUUUACAUGUCUGAGCAUCACCUCGAGCUUGGAACACAAAAGGGAUGAACGGAAUGGCUGACACAGCAAACCGCACAAUAGUGAAGGCUGCCGGGUCCAUGACGGCUUCCACCUCUUUUACAAUCGAGAAAUUACUGGCUACUGUUGGAAAUUCAAAUUAAAAGUCAUGUGAUCUGUCCAUGUGAUGCUAACCUUUCUUUACAGAUUGUUUCCAGCAAAAUAUAAUCAUCAUUGCUCCUUCAUUAUUCAGCCGAAUGGUGAUGAAAGACAGCAAGUGUGCUGCCAUGUGAUGUGCUAGCAGGAAGACAGCAGUGUGCUGCCAUGUGCUAGUCGAAUCUGUGUUAUUUGCAGCUGGAAAGACAGCUGCUGUGUGCUAGCCGAAUGUAGACAACCUGGAAUACAUUUGGUCUUUUCAUUUUCACGUUCCCAUGUGUUAAAGACAGCAGAUAUGCUGCUGUCUGUGUGCUGUCAAUGGAUGGUGUAAAGGUGUAGGUUGUCUUGUAUUUAAGGAAGCCUCUCGUAAGGCUUCAGUGUGCAUAAGAAAAAUCCCAUCUGAUUUGUCAUUCAGUUCUUGAAGUGUAUUUGCAAUCUGUUUUUAAUAUCAAAGUGCCUUGUUUCCCAAAGCUUGUAGCUUCCCUCAUUUCUCUAUUUUUGUCCAAUUUUAUUGAGAGUGAAAGUGAGAGGUGUGAUAGAGUUUGUAAACUUAUCAACCACAUAUUUUGGUAUUGAGUUAGUAAACUUCUCAAUACCAACAGUUGGUAUCAGAGCCAGAAUACCAUUCUGGCAGGUGCAGCAGUUAUGGCAUCCAACUUAGUGCAGCUCCAAGUUCCCACAUUGAAGAAAGAAAAUUAUGAAAGAUGGUGCAUCCAAUUCAAAGCAUUGUUUGGAUCACAAGAGCUAUGGGAAGUUGUCAGUAAUGGGUAUGUUGUACCCACUACCGAGCAAGAAGCCACAUAUACUGCAGAUCAAAGGAACACUCUCAAGGAUUUACGAAAGAAGGACCAGAAGGCGUUGUAUCUUCUCUAUCAAGGAUUAGAAGAUUCAACGUUCGAGAAGGUUGCAGAAGCAACAACGAGCAAGCAAGUAUGGGACACACUCAGUACAAUCUACAAAGGAGUAGAUCGAGUCAAGAAAGUGAGGUUACAGUCACUUCGAGCAGAUUUUGAAACUGCUCACAUGAAUGAAGGGGAGAGCAUCUCCGACUAUCACUCAAGGCUCAUUGUGAUAGUAAAUCAGAUGAGGAGAAAUGGCGAGAGACUCGAUGAAGUACGAGUUGUGGAGAAGAUACUUCGGUCACUCACAUCUAAGUUUGAGCAUGUGGUGACUGCCAUUGAGGAAUCCAAGAAUUUGGAGGCGAUGAGCGCAGAGGAGCUACUAGGAUCCCUCCUAGUUCACGAGCAACGCAUUCAGAAGAAUGCAAGCCCCACAACACUAGAGCAAGCUUUGGAGUCAAAAUUGAAAAUUGACAAACCAAAUAAAGGUCGUGGGCAGUGGAACUCACGUCGUGGGAGUUCAUCCAACCGUAGCCGAGGACGAGCCCGAGGAAGAGGUCGAGGCUAUGAACAAAACCGAGGUCAAUCUCAAGAGUGGAGAUCUACCCGAGGAAAUGCGCAUAUCCAAUGUCACACUUGCAAGCAAUAUGGACAUUAUGCCAAUGAAUGUUCACAUAAAAAUGGUGAGCAUGUCAACAUGGCAGAAUCAAGUGGAAAUACUGAUGAAGAACUUACAGUCUUGCUAGCACACCAUGAUUCCAGUAGCCAACAAGAUGUUUGGUAUUUGGACUCUGGUGCAAGCAAUCACAUGUGUGGAAAGAAGGAGUUUUUUGCCGAACUCAAAGAUGGGGCCUAUGGAUCUGUAAGUCUUGGUGACUCCUCAAAGUUGCCAGUUGAAGGCAAAGGGAAGAUCAAGAUCAUCCAGAAUGAUGGUAGAGAAGAAUACAUCUCCGAUACCUACUACAUACCAGGUAUGAAGAGCAACAUUCUGAGCAUUGGUCAACUGCUCCAGAAAAGGUAUAUUAUACAUAUGGAGGAUAUGUUUCUCACUCUCAGGAAUGCAAGGAGAAAACUUAUUGCACGUGUUCAAAUGUCAAAGAACCGAAUGUUUCCCGUUGAAGUUGAACACAAAGAUUGGGAGUUGCAACAUCGGUGUAAUGGAAGAUGAGUCAUGGAAAUGGCAUCUUCGAUUUGGCCAUCUUCAUUUCAAUGGCCUAAAGUUGCUGUCAAGUGGAGGAAUGGUUCGUGGUCUACCCCAGAUUGAAGUCACACGCCAAGUAUGUGAAGGUUGUGUGCUUGGCAAGCAAGCACGACUAUCAUUCCCUGUUGGUGAUACAUGGAGAGCAAAGGCACCACUGCAAAUGGUACACACGGAUAUAUGUGGUCCAUUGGAUCCUAUUCUUAUGGAGGUAAAUAGGUAUUUUAUUACUUUCAUUGAUGAUUUCAGUAGGAAGACUUGGGUUUAUUUUCUCAAGGAGAAGUCGGCUGCCCUAAAAAUCUUCAAGGAGUUCAAGGCACUCACAGAGGCUGAAAGCAACCACAAGCUUGUGGCUGUGAGAUCAGAUAGAGGUGGAGAGUACACCUCCAAUGCUUUCCAAGCAUACUGCAAGGAGCAAGGAAUUAGGCAUCAACUGACUGCUGCCUAUACCCCACAGCAAAAUGGGAUAGCCGAAAGAAAGAAUCGAACCAUCCUUGACAUGACAAGGUCCAUGCUUAAGGAGAAGAAUUUGCCAAAAGAAUUGUGGGCAGAAGCUGUAGCUUGUUCGAUUUAUUUGUUGAAUCGAUGUCAAACAAAGAGUGUCAAAAGGAUGACACCACAAGAAGCUUGGAGUGGAUAUAAGCCGAGUGUUGCACACCUAAGAGUUUUUGGGUGUGUUGCAUAUGCUCAAGUUCCAGAAGCCAAGAGGAGAAAGCUCGAUGAUCGAGGUGAGAAGUGUGUGUUGGUGGGCUAUAGUGAAGAGUCCAAGGCAUACAAGCUCUACAACCCACUAACUGGCAAGCUAGUGGUUAGUAGAGAUGUCAUCUUCAGUGAGGAAGAGGCAUGGAAGUGGAACAACAAAGAAGUCAGUAAAGAGAAAGAUCGUCUCCACUAAUUUUGAAGAACCAGAAGUUGUACCACCUGUUGAGCAACAACCUGCUCAAACACCACAACAACUCCAUUGCACAGAACUGCAAGGAGUGGUCCUACAUCUAGUGAAGAAAGCAGCUCUUCAACUCCAGUGUGAGACUAAGAAGUCUCACCGAGAUAUAUGGACAAGAAGAAGAAGAAGAAACCAACCUUUUCUGCUUGUAUGCAGCCCACGAGCCUCUCUCAUUCAAUGAAGCUGUGGAGAAGAUCGUUGGAGAAUAGCCAUGGAGGAAGAAAAUCCAUGCCAUCGAGAAGAAUGACACUUGGAGUUGACAAAGCUCCUACCAAAUCAGAAGGCAAUUGUGUGUCAAGUGGGUGUACAAGAUCAAACGCACUGCAGAUGGGAGUGUGGAUCGGUACAAAUCAAGGCUUGUAGCAAAGGGCUACAAACAAAAGUAUGGAGUGGACUAUGAUGAAGUCUAUGCUCCAGUUGCAAGACUUGACACGGUAAGAUUACUAAUCUCUCUUGCCGCUCAUUUCAUAAAUGGAAAAUUUAUCAACUAGAUGUCAAGUCAGCCUUCCUUAAUGGAGUACUUGAGGAAGAAGUGUACGUGGAACAACCAGAAGGCUUCCAAGUACAAGGAGAGAGAAGAAAAGGUGUAUCGUUUGAAGAAGGCUUUGUAUGGCCUCAAGCAAGCACCACGAGCUUGGAACUCAAGGAUUGACAACUACCUUCACCAAAAUGGAUUUUCAGAAAUGUCCAUACGAGCAUUCAGUUUACAUGAAGAAUGGUGCAAAAGGGGAGUUCUUAAUUAUUUGUCUCUAUGUAGAUGACUUGUUGUUUACAGGAAACAAUGAAGCAAUGUUCUGUGAGUUCAAGCAAUCCAUGUUCAGUGAAUUCGAGAUGACUGACAAUGGAUUAAUGUCAUACUUUCUUGGCAUAGAGGUGAAGCAAGAAAGUGACGGUAUCUACAUUCUCAACAAAAGUACAUGAGAGAUAUAUUGGAGAAAUUCAAUAUGGAUAAGUGCAAUAUUGUCAACACUCCAGUUGCAACUGGAUUGAAGCUGUCCAAGGAAGGAGAAGGUGAGUUUGUAAACUCAACCGUGUACAAAAGCUUGGUUGGAAGUCUAAGGUACCUUACAAUCACAAAGACCUGAUAUAGUUUAUGGUGUUGGACUCGUGAGUCGGUACAUGGAAAUACAAGGGAGUCUCAUUGGCUGGUUGCCCAAGAGAAUCUUGAGGUACAUAAGAGGUACUCUAAAACUAUGGUCUGUUUUAUAAUUUUUGGUGAAGAUGCAAAAUUAUUUUGGUUAUUCAGAUAGUGAUUGGGGAGGUGACCAAGAUGAAAGGAAAAGCACAACUGGCUAUGUGUUUUUUCUAGGAUCAACAGCUUUCUCAUGGACUUCAAAGAAGCAAUCAAUUGUUGCUUUGUCAUCAUGUGAAGCCGAGUAUGUUGCUGUAGCCUCAACAGUAUGUGAAGCAAUUUGGUUAAGAAAUCUAUUGAAGUCAGUGUGUCAUCCACAAGUGGAAUCGACUGUGAUUCAUGUGGAUAACAUGUCUGCAAUCAAGCUUGCAAAGAAUCCUGUUCAACAUGGAAGGAGCAAGCACAUUGAUACCAGGUUCCAUUUUCUAAGGGACCAUGUGAAGCAAAAGACAAUAGAGCUUGUCUAUUGUCACACGAAGGAACAAGUGGCAGACAUCUUCACUAAGCCAUUACCAGUUGAAUCAUUCCGGCUAUUACGUGAAAUGCUAGGCAUGAAGGCGUUUUAAUUUGAGGGGCCAUGUUGGAAAUUCAAAUUAAAAGUCAUGUCAUCUGUCCAUGUGAUGCUAACCUUUCUUUACAGAUUGUUUCCAGCAAAAUAUAAUCAUCAUUGCUCCUUCAUUAUUCAGCCGAAUGGUGAUGAAAGACAGCAAGUGUGCUGCCAUGUGAUGUGCUAGCAGGAAGACAGCAGUGUGCUGCCAUGUGCUAGUCGAAUCUGUGUUAUUUGCAGCUGGAAAGACAGCUGCUGUGUGCUAGCCGAAUGUAGACAACCUGGAAUACAUUUGGUCUUUUCAUUUUCACGUUCCCAUGUGUUAAAGACAGCAGAUAUGCUGCUGUCUGUGUGCUGUCAAUGGAUGGUGUAAAGGUGUAGGUUGUCUUGUAUUUAAGGAAGCCUCUCGUAAGGCUUCAGUGUGCAUAAGAAAAAUCCCAUCUGAUUUGUCAUUCAGUUCUUGAAGUGUAUUUGCAAUCUGUUUUUAAUAUCAAAGUGCCUUGUUUCCCAAAGCUUGUAGCUUCCCUCAUUUCUCUAUUUUUGUCCAAUUUUAUUGAGAGUGAAAGUGAGAGGUGUGAUAGAGUUUGUAAACUUAUCACCCACAUAUUUUGGUAUUGAGUUAGUAAACUUCUCAAUACCAACAGCUACAACAAGCGAACAAAAUGAGUGAAACAAAUUUAAAAUUGUGAUCCACACACUUCCAAUGCGCCUCUGGAGCCCGAAUUUUAUUCCAAGCAACUCCCAAUCAACCAGCAUUUCGUUUGCAUUUUCGUUAUACAUUAGUAAUUGAAUUUUUGUUAGAAAGUAAUUCUGCCCCCUCAAUACAAAACGCGGUAAGCUCUUAGUUCGAUCUUCACCUAAAGCUCUACAUGAUCUCUCCGUUCAAGGCCUAAACCCUAUAUUUCAUUUCCCUUUACACACAUCCUUCUAAGUUUUCUACUUUUGCUCAAAAAUUCGAAAUUUUACUUUGCGUAUUAUCAAGUGAAAUAUUUUCCCACAUUUUCAUGGUUUUUAUGAACAAUCAAACACUUUUCAUAAGGAUUCGACGUAAACUAGCAGUGAAGGCUGUCGACUACCUGACGCCCUCCCCCUCCUUCUUUAUCCGGGCUUGGACCAGCAAUGUAAGAUAAACUUUAUGAACAAUCAAACACUAAGCAGAAAAUAAUUUAUGAAAAUAUUAAAAAGGUUUAAAAAGGAAGAAGCUUUUUACCAUGAGCGACGGUGAUGACGUUGAGCAAGAUGAUGCUCCUAACUUUCUUGGAAGCGAAAAAGAUCCUUCGCCAUAGAGAUCGUUUGCCGAACAAGGACUUGAAGCUUAGGGUCGUUACUCUCCUUUCGUCUUGCGAUCGAUUUCCACUAGAAUUUUUAACCAAUGUGGUUGGGUUCGGAUUCCGAUUCGGAUUCGGACGAUCCAAUUUCACUGGCUUUCAAAGUCCCUGUUUGGCAUUAGGUUUAGAGCUACUACUAGGAGAAGAAGGAGGAGGAGGAGGAGGAGGAGGAGAAGAAGCGGUUAAACGGGAUCGUUUCCGGGGAUUUGUGUGGAAGGAAGAGAAAGUUGAGAAGUUAGAAGAAGAAGAGCAUUUGAUGGCGGUGGUGGCGCAAAUUGAUGAGUUCCACGACCACCCGAAUGGUGAUUGGGCAGCCAUGCCUGAGCACUGGAGCACUGAACCCAGAACAACUGCGCGUUGUGGCUGGCUGGGAUUAAUUACCAGUUACACCUGAAAUUACUGAAACACCCUCGUUGAGAUUUUGGUUAAGGAAGUUGAUAUUUUGGUCAAGGAGUAAACUGUCGGUUUACCCCCUGAACUUUUACCUCACUUUCGAUUUCCCCCUGAACUUUUCCAUUGGAAAAUUAAGGACUCAAACUAAUUUUUUUAGCCAAUUUGCCCCCUACCGUUAGUUUUUCAUAUAUUCUAUCCAUAUUUCCGUUAAGUGAGACCAUGUGCACAACAUGUGAGGGUAGUUAAAUUAUUUCACUCUUAAAAAUGAUUAAAAAACUGAAAAUAAUAAAAAAAGCAAAACUUUCCCUCUAUUUUUUCCUGCUAAUUCCUAUCCUCGAUUUUAUUUUUCCCUCUCAUUCCUAUGCAUGAGAAAUGACAUAUAGUGUUAUUGUCUACCAUUUUUAUUUUCUCUAACAAAUUAAUAAUUUGACAAAUGCUAAUGGUGCUAUUGUCUCCAAAGCAGUGCAUUAAUAUAAGAAACCCUAGUCUUUUUUAUGGACAUGUUUCUUAUAUUAAUGCACUGCUUUUGAGACAAUAACACCAUGAGCAUUUGUCAAAUUAUUAAUUUGUUAGAGAAAAUAAAAAUGGUAGUACAUGCUUCAAAAAAAAGAUUAACUUAGCUACUUAUGAAGACAAUAACACCAUAUGUUAUUUCUCAUGCAUAGGAAUGAGAGGGAAAAUUAAAAUUGAGGAUAGGAAUUAGCGGGAAAAAAUAGAGGGAAAAUUAUUAUUAUUUAUUUAUUUUUAGUUUUUAAUCAUUUUUAAAUUGAAAUGACUUAACUAUCCUCACAUGUUAUGCACAUGAUCUCACUUAACAGAAAUAUGGAUGGAAUAUAUGAAAAACUAACGGUAGGGGGCAAAUUGGCUAAAAAAAUUAGUUUGAGUCCUUAAUUUUCCAAUAGAAAAGUUCAAGGGGGAAAUCGAAAGUGAGGUGAAAGUUCAGGGGGUAAACCGACAGUUUACCCUUUGGUCAAGUCUCCGACUAUCAGUUAAAAUAUCUAUAAAAAAUUAUUAGGACGGUUCAGUUCGGGUUAUCUAAAAGUUAAUAUAAAUAAUGUUGGGCAGAUUAAAUUUUCAGAUCAAAUUAAUAAAAAUGAAAAUGUUAAUUAAUAUUUAAUAAUAAUUUAAUCACCAACUAUCAUUUUACAUGAUUUAUAAAAUAUAAUUUAAAUAGAUGGUAGCUUUUGUUCUUUAGUGCUUUUGCUAAAAGCUCUUUUAUCAUUAUGAGAUUGAGACUUUAAUUAAAAAACUAAGUUUGAGACUUUAAUUAAAAAACUAAGUUCUUCUCGAAAAAUAUAAGCAUGCCAAUAGAUUGAACUUGUUUAAAACAUCAGCAUUAUAAUGAUAUCACACUCAAUUCAUUAUUUCUCAGAGAAUUAAAGACAAACCAAAUCGGAAACCGAAAUAAGCAACAGUGCUAACUAGCUUGCUCAACUCUCAGGCCUUUAUUCUUGAAGAUAGUAAUAUUACUCAAUGUUCCAUAUCGUAUAUGUAUGCAUAAAUCUUGUGCUUGGCGCUUAUUCCUUGAGAAGAUGUGCAUCAACAUCUUUAAUGACAGUGACCGCAAAGCUGAGGAACUUCUGUGGAGGCGGAUCGUUCUCGUUGAGUUUUUCAUAUUCUAAAGUAAUUUUCACAGAACUUCCUUCACUAUUUGGAGUGAUGAUCUGGUAAGUGACCUUGAAGCUUUUGUAAUUGUCCAGCACAUGUGAUCCUUCCAAAGCUAUAAGACUCACCCGAUUGUUUGCUUCAUCUAUUUCCGCCUUUUCCUUGUAAGUCUCGACAUUUCCAUCUAUACGUCACAUGGAAAAGUACCCGGUCACCAGAGUCUCGACAUUUUCAUAGAAGGUUUAAAAAAUUAAUUGUUAGUUUGAUUAGUUAGGAGGAGAGAGGAAUGUUAUUAAUAUUACCUAUGGUGUAUUUCCAGAGCUUGACAGAGCCAGAAGUUACCCAGUCACCUUCAUGUACCGUAACAUCGUGUAUUUUAUCAGAGGCUGCUUUGGGGACGUCAUGGUGCUGGUAGCUGAUGAAUUUGUACAGCUGAUCAGCGUUGGCUUUGAUCUCUACCUCAGCCUCCAGAGUCUCCAGCUUGCAAGUACCAGCUCCACUCACAGCCAUUUUCUUUUAUUUGUUAUUUAUAAUAUGUGAAUAACGAUAGUGUAAGUCUGGGGAAUUGUAGGAGACGUAUACAAACCUAUUGGUUUCCACUUCUUAUGCCAAAUCAAGGGAUCCGAGUCUUUUAAAUUUGAUUCAAUCAGGGAGCUCCUUUAAAAGUUAUAAUACUUUUAGAUCCGAAAAGGAUCCCUUUCCUUAGUUAUGGAGGCAAUUGUGGAUAAGAUCUGAUCACUUGAAGAAAAUGACGAGUUUGCGGAUCUUUGCGGUUCUUCAUCAUUCACAUGGGAGACUUUAUGACUAGACCUACCAAAUUUAAUCGCAACAACGAACUUGAUAAUGAGACAUCAACAAUUCAACAAUUCAAAAAACUUCAAUUAAAUUGUGACCCAUAAAUAAAUAUGUGGAAUUCCUAUUACUUCUUCUUUUGUAAUCAAUCAAAGCUGAAUUAUUGAUGCCUAAUUCAUAAAAGGUUUUUCUGUUCUGCAUGCAGCAUCUGGACACAGGAAUAUUCUUUGGGAUUCUUUGGGAUUUUAAUUGUGGACUUGUAUUACCUGGCCAAAUAUAUAAAGUUUGAAGUGCAAUUAAAAUUUUAGAGUGUAAAUAAAAUUACCAUCUUUUAUUGGUUUUUUAAGAAAGCUUUAAUGAAAAGAAUUUGAGCUAAGUUUAAUUUAAUAAAAAACCACCAUAUACUAUUAUUUAACCAAAAAGACUUCAUAUUUAAUCAUGAGGAUAAAACUAAUUUAUAGUACCAUACCCACAAACAUUUAACACACAUGAGCCCAAAACGAAAUGUUUUUUUUCCACCUUUGCCCCUAACAGCAAUGCUAUUCUGUCAGCCAAUUCUGUUACAAAUAAACUUUCCUUUACUUACAAGUAUGCCAUUAAGUCAGCCAAUUCUUUCUCUCUUUCUUUUUCUUUUGGCCGUUCGUUAUCUCUUCAGGUUUUGCAUUUUUUUUCCCCUUGUUUUCUUCAUGUCGUCCCCCUCCCUCCUGAAGGAGAGGUAAAACUCAACGUGGGUGAAAGAGAGUGGCCACCUCCUCAAACCAUUUUGCACGUUUAAAGAAAAUGUGAGUAAUUGCUUCCCCAAUUUCUUUUAUUAUAUAUACAUAUUUUAUAUAUUUUAUAUAUAUAUAUAUUAUUAAUUUAUUAGUUUAUUACUUAUUUGUAAUUAGGUGGUUCAGAUUCUUUUGUUGAUCAAUUUCCACCUUAAUUUUGCUUACCACUUAGAACUCACUUUCCUAGAAUGCAGGAGCCACUUCCAUUGGAAAUUAUCCCAGUUUCAUUUUCAGUUUGUGAGUCUUUGUAGAUUUGCCAAUGGGGUAUCGACUCUUAACGGAUAAAACAAUGGUUUUGAAGAUUUGCCCGUAAAGCUCCGGUAUUUUCACCAGCUCGAGUGUUUUCAACAUCACCACCUUCUCCUUGUUAUUUGCCUUUACCAGCAGUGUUGUUCAUGGCUUUGUUCUGUCCUAGCAACAACAUGAAAACAAAUCAACAAAAAAGAGAUAGGUCCUCGUCGGAUCCUCUUUGUGAGGAUCACGAGGAUUCUUUAAUCCUGUCAUUCCAUCGUACAUCGUGCAAUCAGAAAUCAUUUUAAAUUAUAUGAUUCAAAAUUGAACACAAACAGUACCUGACGAAAAUUGACCGCACGAUGUAUGAUGAACGAACAUGAUUAAAGGAUCUCCGGGAUCCUCACAAAGAGGAUCCGGCGAGGAUCCUAUCUCAACAAAAAAAUGCAUUGAUCUACUAACAAUUUGAUACUUUAUGUCUUCAAAUAAAAAACAAGAUCAAAUAGCUACAAUAUUUCCCCAGGUAAACAAAAUUAUCAAUUAAAAAUAUUGAACACUAACUAUUUCUCGAAUUGGAUAGGGGUACCGAUACUAUUUCUUAAAUAGAACAUUAGUACUAUUAUUAUUUCUUAAACUGAAUACUAGCACUAUCAAUAUUUCUUAAACUGAACAUUCAUUAUUUCUUAAACUAAGCACUGGUACUGUCACUAUUUCUUAAACUGAACAUUCACUAUUUCGUAAACUGAACACAAAUAUUAUUACUAUUUCUUAAACUGAAUAUUCACUAUUUUGUAUACUGAACACGGGUAUUAUCAUUAUUUCUUAAACUUAACACUAAUAUUAUUACUAUUUCUUAAGCUGAAUACUGACUAUUUCUUAAAUUGAACACUGACUAUUUUUAUAAUUGAAUACAGGUACUGUCACUAUUUCUUAAACCAGAAAUAGUGAAUUAGGGUUUAGUUAUUAUGAUAUAUUGUUGGAUUAUGAUUAACAUAUAAUUGUGUUCUGGCCUUAUAGAAAAAAAGGUACACACCAUGUUAAAUACAUGUAGGUAUUUAUAUAUAAAUAUAUAUUACGCACGUAUACUGUAAUUCCAACUUUUGAUAGAUCAAGCCAUGAGUUUCCCAGUCCCCUUCAUGCACCUGGAUACUGCCAGAACAAAUUUUUGGGACGUGUGGCGAGCCUGGCUCUUGAAGAUGUUGUAGAACUUCUCAGCAGGUGCCUUGAUUUCGAUCUCAGUCUCAACCUUACCGUGCAGAGUCAUGUUUAUGAUCAGUUGGGAUGGCACCAUAAUUAAUCAAUUUGCACCAUACUACUAAAUUUUUUUAAUUUUUCAUCAUUUCUUUCGUUAAGUAGGUGUGCUAUCCGCAUGACUGCCUUCAAAGGGUAAAAAAGUCAUUUUACCUACACCUUCUGUCUUCUUUCUUUUCUCCGAACUUUCUCUUCUUCUUCCUUUUCACCAAGCCGAGCCCGUGCUGUUCCACCAUGCUCCACCGGCACGAUUUUCCGGCGAACACCAAAAGAAACAAUGGGAGGGAUCUGAGCUCGUAGAUUCGCGUUCACUACAUCCCUUUCUUACACUCAUCGCAAACCCUACCCUCCUAUUCCAGUGGGUACACCUCCCCCGUCGCCAUUGAGUUUCUGAAUAAAAACCGCGCGUACAACUCGACCACCACCGCCGCCACUCCUACGGCUCCCAUAGCCACCAACGCGUGCUCUCGCGAAGACCCGCACCUGAAGUUGGUGCCUUCGAUUAUGAUCGAGUACUUGGACUUUGUCUCUCCCGGAUCCACGAAGCGCAUGGAGUAGGAGGCGGGGAGGCCGCAGAGCGCGUAAGACCCAAGCUUGGCGAUGUGGGGAGAAGAUGAGAUAGAUUUGAUCAAGCCUUGCCAAAGAAUCUGGGAAGUACAAAAUAAUAGGAAUAUUAUUAAACUAACGAGAAUGCGGGAAUGGCUACAAAACCCUAGAAUGCUACAUUGUGACUAAUUUAUUGUUCUACGAGCUACAAAGCAUCAUAUAUAUAGAGAACUAACAUAACCCUAGUAGGCAAGAAAACGAAACCCUAAUACUAACGGGCUAAGCCCAAAUUCAAACAAUAAAAUAAUCAUAAAUUCUAACACCCCCCAUCAAACUCAUGACGGUAUACGGCAAGAGUUUGGAACAAGAAGAGGCGGAUGCAAGCUCCGUUAGGCAGACACGACAAAACAAGCUCCGUAGGCGGACACGACAAAGCAAGCUCCGUUAGGCGGACACAAUAAGGCAAGCGGGUGAGCAACCAAGUGAGCAAAUGAACAAUCCAAGCUUCAAUCAACAAGGCCCAACCAAAGGCCUUCAAACAAAUCAUAAUAGCAACAACACGUUUGCCCCAACAAAAAGCAACAAAUACUGCCUACCAACUCUUUUCCACUAGCAACUUUUCACAGGUCAACAAACUUUUUUUUUCUUUGCUUUCUUCCUUCGAUCUGCGAACAAAGUGUGGUAACAAAUGGUGGGUGCGGCGGUUGCUGGGUAGGGCAAGCAAAUUCAUCUCUAGGUGCAGUUAUGGGACGACAUCAGGUUACAAGUCCGGGCAGCAAUGGUUCCAGGUGGGUUCAACGGAUUAUGGGUAGCAAUGGGUUUCGAUAUGGGCUUCAAAAAGUUGUCAGGCAGCAGCAAUGCGAAUCGAUUCAGAUGGUACAGGCUAUAGCAACGAGUGCGAUGGCCAACUCGUGCAUGCGUCAUUGGGUGGCAAGACGACGACGUGAUGCAUGCAGCAAAUAGAUUCAAUUUUUUCUCCCUUUUUUUAAGCAACAAAACCCUAACUAGGGCACAACGACAAACCACAACGAAGAAGAGGAAUGUGACAAGACAAACAAACUAGCUACCAAGAACAGAUUCAACCCAUCAAACCUGCUAUGAUACCAAGUUGAAUAUCAGAGUGCGCAACGAACAAGACUACAAAAUAAUAUGAAUAUUAUUAAACUAACGAGAAUGUCAGAAUGACUACAAAACCAUAGAAGGCUACAUUGUGACUAACUUAUUGUUUUACGAGCUAUAAAGCAUCAUGUAUAUAGAGAACUAACCUAACCCUAAUAAGCAAGAAAACGAAACCCUAAUACUGAUGGGUUAAGCUCAAAUUCAAACAAUAAAAUAAUCCUAAAUUCCAACACUCCACAUACUCUACUGCACCAAAUUCCCCUUUCUCUCUCUUCUCUUCUAUUCUCUCUCUCUCUCUGCUUUUCCUUUUCACAUUGCUUCUUAUUGAUGACCCACAACCACUCUAACACGUUGCCGCUACUCUCUUCCUUCCUUUCCUUUCCUUGUAAGAAAACAAGUAUUCUUCCCCUCCUCUGAGCGCUUUUUACUCUCAGAGAUUUUCCCCAACUGAGUUUUUCAUUUACUGCAAAAACAUAUUUUCUUUUGGGGUUUGGGGUUUAAAGGGAGGGUUUUUCUCUGUUUAUUUACAAAUUUAUUGAAAAGUUGAGCUCUUUGUGCUUCCGAUGUAAUGAGUUCUCUUUCCUUUAAAGGGUCUUGUUUGGUAACUUUGGUUACUGAGAAAAUGAGCGUUCUCUAUCGUUUGGUAUGCAGACGGGACGGGACGAAACGGAAUGGGACGGGACAGGACGGGACAGAACAGAGAGGAAGCGAAGAUGCCCUCGGAUGGAAACAAGAAGGAAGAAGAAGAAGAUGGAGAGGUUAUAAUUUUGUGUUCCACAGAUGUGGAACGAGUCGUUCCAGGGGGAUGAGGUGGAACAAAAAUUCACCAAAAACUCGUUAUGUGGAACAGUAUGUUCCACCCGUUUUAGGCGCACCAAACAUGGGACAGAACGCCCCGUCCCACGUACCAAACGGUACCUAAGAGAUGAAUUUGGGGAGUACAAAGUGAAAGUGUUGGUGGAGAGAAUGGAAUGUGCAGGGGAAUGACUUUUUUGCCCUUUAAAGGGUAGUCAUGUGGAUAGCACGCGACCUACUUAAUGUAAGAAUAGAUGAAAAAUUAAAAAAAUUGACAAAAUGUGCAAAUUGACUAAUUAUGAGAAUUGAGGGAGGAAAUUGACCAAAAUUAGAGUUGAGAGAGGAAAUUGGCCAAUGUUUACAAGUUAAUUAUGAAUACCUGUAUUAAUUUAUGCGAUAACUUAGAAAAAGUAGUGCUUCAAAGGAUCGCAUGAAAAACAUUCGUUUAUUAAAAAAAUUCAGAUAAAGGAAAUAUAUAAGACAAACGUACGUAAUCACUUUCGGUUCGAUUAUGAACAUGAUUUGGAUCAAUAAUAUUAGGGUGCUAUAUAUUAUUGAUAUUAUUAGAUUUCAAUAACCAAUCACUGGUUUUUUUGCAAUAUUAUACUUGUACAUUUUCAAGCUACCACAUUUUUUUCCUUCUGGAUGUAUGAAAAUUUAGGUAUUGCGUUUGUUCCUUUGUUAAGAAGUCAUCCCCAACUCCCUUGCCCUAUUAUUUUUAUCAAGGAAAAAUAACUCCCCAGUUUAAAAGCUAUAUAAUUAACCAGCAUGAAUGCUGGACAACUGUCGAAAGCAAAACUCAAAAUUCAUUGUAUAAUUAACAGUGAGACUAAAGGCUGACUAAGAACAUGAUUGUCAAAAGUUAUAUAAAAAAAAUAUAUAUCAGAGUAAAUCUCCAACAAAUCAGAAAGUAAAUCGUUAAAAUAUAGAGUAUACAUACAUAUAAAGUGAAUAAUUAAUAUAGAAUAUCUUUUGUACUAAAAAAUAUAUAUAUAUAUAUAAUGUUGAGAAUGAAUUUCACAUUAAUAGGAAGAAGGACUUUGCAUAAACUUAUAAGUAAGUUGGGCUACUCUCUCAUAUUGCCAAUUGAUUUUAUGAUAGAACAUCAACUUUCUUCAUGGUACCAGAGUAGGUUGUCUCACAUAUGAAGCCAAACGGCCACGUGCGCUCCAUGUCACCCCUUUGUGUUGUCCACGCGUUAGGCUUGAAAAUUCGUCACACGUGAAAGGAUGUGUUGAAAAUGAAUCUCACAUUGAUGGGAUGAACGACCUUACAUAUUGGACAAAUAUUGUAGAGUACACCACAUUUUAUUUAUAGAUGAUCGACAACCAUAAUCUAUUACAUCACAAUGUCAUAUAUGACAUCCUUCGUACAUCUUUUAAAAUACACACAAACCUAAUUAAGAAAAGCAUUUUAUUUAAGUAGGUACGCAUUGAUGAACAUAUGCAUGCAUGAUUACAUAUAAUUGAACCCUUUCUAACAAGACCAGCAAAAGCUCUUUCCAACCGUUGCAUAUGCUGCAGCCUGCAGAUAUGGUUUUUAUUCGUUAAUUUAUUUAUUUAUGCUCCCAGAAAGUGAGCGUCAAGAUCCUGGACGAGUUUAACCAUCAAACCGACAUAUCUAUCUGGAGCUUCAACAUUCUCAUUCAGUUUCUCGUAUUCGAUCCACAGGUUGGCAAUGCAGGUGCUUUCAUCUUUUUGAGUGAAUUUAUAGACACCCUUGAAGCUGUUAUAACUAUGAGUGUAUGAUGAUCUGAGCACAACUGUUAAGGUAUACAUACAUAUAAAGUGAAUAAUUAAACAGGAAAAUUGAAGUAGUGGUACCUAGUUCAUAUUUCCAAAUCUUAAUAGAGCCGUGUGUUUCCCAGUCUCCUUCAUGCACAUCAACUCCCUUGAUAUGGGUAUUAGAAAUGUUUGGGAUGAGGUGGGCGCUCUUGAACAUGUUGUACAACUUGUCAGCUGGUGCCUUAAUUUCUAUUUCAGUCCCAAUUUUACCAUGCAGAACCAUGUUUAUGAGCAGUUUUGAAUUGAUGGGUGCUACUCAGAAAUUAUAAGAGAAGAAUGUUAUAGGAUAUGUAUAAUUUGGGCUCCUACCCUCCUUAAAU